This 81739-nucleotide long non-coding RNA is filed under the name Selaginella moellendorffii. RNAcentral's name for it is "long non-coding RNA (SMOE_LNC000710)". The stretch from base 50736 to 50902 matches the Rfam family "U1 spliceosomal RNA". The record is from RNAcentral. Lineage: Eukaryota; Viridiplantae; Streptophyta; Lycopodiopsida; Selaginellales; Selaginellaceae.
AAGAAACAGCAACCGGACAUGGAGAUCAUCACGCGAGUAACAGGUCCGGAGAUUGGAUACGUGACGACGCCUAUCAUUCUCGUCCAGGCGGCGCUGCUCGUGCUGGAAAACCGCGAUAAACUCCCCAAAGGUGGCGUGUGGACUCCUGGUGUUGCGUUUGGAACCACGGACUACGAGCAGAGGCUGCAAAACAAUGGCUUGUCGUUUGACGUUAUUAGCAAGCAUUAGAUAAACCUUGGCCAUAAAACUUAGAUUUAUUUUGUGUUCAUAUUAAACAAUAUAAAGAUUUUACAUUGAUUUAUGUUUAACAAGGUGUGCAGCAAGCUAUUAUUAAUAACUUCAUUCAGCUCUUGACUUACUGUNNNNNNNNNNNNNNNNNNNNNNNNNNNNNNNNNNNNNNNNNNNNNNNNNNNNNNNNNNNNNNNNNNNNNNNNNNNNNNNNNNNNNNNNNNNNNNNNNNNNAUGGAUCUAAAAAUAUUCCACUUAAGAAGAACUCUGCUACUGUUUGAUAAUAAUGUUGGGUGUAGUGAAGACCAUCCCAAGAUAUGUAAGUACUGGGAUUUAGACAACUUGAUACACCAGGUGUUCCACAUAUUUGGAAAGGAGAAUAAUUAUAUGGUGCUCCAGUUCCGCAGCAAGCAUCUUGUAUAUUCGUAAAACCUGCUUUGAAGUUUAAGUAAAUAGCAUAUAUCAGCAUCAGACUUACCGUAAGUUGAACUAUUUUGAAGGAUCUUAUAGUAAGGGUUAUACAUAUCUGCAAUGUAGAAUUUGGCAUCACUGUAUCGAUUUCGUAGAGAAACCACAGCUUCCACAAGUUUUGAGUUGAAAUAUUGAGAAAUAUUAUUAAACGCAAUAAGGCACCGAUAAGAAUCAUAUGCUGUCGGAUUUGGAGAUGCAAAAAUAGUCUUAAUUGAUGGAGUGCAGCCCAAUGGUGUUAUUGUGAACACUAAAAAUUUUCUACCACCUUCGUUAUAAAGUAACUAGCAAAACAACAGCACUAAGGUUUUGGUUAUUUGAAAUCAAAAUAACCUCACUUGUAAAGAAGAUUUGAUAGCUGCAACUGCUUGUGGUAUAGUAAUGUUUGCAAUAUAUGAUAGAGAUUUAUUGUUGUAGAUUAUAUUAUUAAUAAUGUCAUUACCUCCGAUUUCUACAGCAUAAAGGAAAGUUUGAUAAAACUUUGGUGGAGGUAAUGACUUCCUAUAUGCAUCUGUUUAAAAACAAAAAUAGAUUAAAAUAAAAUAGAUUAAUACUCUCAUAAUUGCUAUAAUAUAAUUACCUCUGUUUGAAUUGUAACCUGAUUGUAAUCUCUGUUUAAACUGCAAAAACUGUUGUAGCUGGUAAGAGAAAUAUAUGGGAUUUUGAAAGACGGUGUUGAGUGCUGUUGAGCCAGCCUGAGCAAAGUUGACACCAGUCCUAUAAUCUGGAUUAAUAGUCACAAAAUAAGGCUCUGGAUACUUGAACUUUAAGCCAGCACCUACGAGAAGAUGUUAGAAAAGUUCAUAAUCACACAUAGCCAUACUUAUGUAAUCAAUAAUAAGCCUUCCAUCUGAAAAUCUUCCAGUUGGACUUCCUGGAUAAGUUAUACCAUAAGGAGACUGAUUUCCUGGAUUACUUGGAAACACAUUAGCAGAGGCUCCUGUGUCUGAAAGAGAAUCCCCAAAUAUGAUUAUUCCAUCUACACAUUGGGGUAGUGGUGGUAAAUGUGUGCAUAAUGCAAAAGAAAAUAGUAUGCUGAAAAAUGAAAUAAUACAGGAAAACCUCAUCUUGUUAAUUUCUGAGUAGUUUGGAUGAAUGUUUCCUAGAUCACUUAAACAUUUUUAAAUUCAUAUGAAGUGGAGGAAGUCAACUUUGCUACUAAUAUAUUGCAAUACUUAUAAGUAAUACGUAUAUAUGCUUUCUUUUAGAUCUUGCAGUGCCUAUCUAGAAGCAUAAGAUCCCAACAUAAUAUAUGCUCACAAUCUAUCACAAUAUAAUCUCACCCAUAUUUUGUUAGAUGUUAGUUGGACAAAUUUGCACGAAACUAGAAAAGAAUCUAACUAUGCUCACCUAGAUAAACAUAAAGAUGUUUUAUUAAAAUAGAAAAUUGUUCAAAUAGAAAAGAUUGUAGCUUGUUGUGUUAUUUUAGUAAUAAAUUAUAAUCUUUCAAAUUAAUAAAAAUAAUUAUUAUAAAGUUAUGGUGGCUGUUAACUACAAGGUUGGAGUGUCAAACCUUCUUUGUAAAAAAUAAUAAUGGGAACUAAUAUUUUUAACACUAAAGCCAUAAUAUUAUACUCUAGAUCACUAAAUCCAAGACUAAACUUUACUUCCAGCUUGGUAUAUCUUCAAAACUCUCCCAAAUGUAAAAUAAAUUAUAAUCAAACUUUAAAAAUAUAGUAGGAAAGUUCUUUAAAUCUCCUUGUUAACAAAAACUUGUCAGUCGGGUAUCAAUUUCCACACUAGAACUUGUAUAGUUUAAAGAAAUAUUAGACAAUAGCCAAGGAAAGAGGUUAUAAAAGUGAUAGGUGUGCUAGUCUGUCAAAUAAUUUUCAUUUCCUACAUCCUCCUUUGCUGUCAUAUAGGGAGAACUUAAGCUUAAAAUGGUUACUUCUCUUUAAGCCAUCAUAUAAUAUAUAAUUUUUAGGGUCUUUUAGGUUUUAUUUAAAAUCUUGUACCUCAAUACAGGAGGAGGAGGCUAGUUUGGGUUUAAGCCCAACUUCUAUACCAUAUUAAUUGGUGGAAUAUUUAUAUCCUUGCAUUGUAGCACUAGUAUGUUGAAAUAGUGCCAAACUUCUUUUCACUUUAUUUUGCGUGUUGGUUUUACAAUAUGAUACUAAAUGCUUUAGGAGUGUUCUAAUGUCUAUACUCAUGUUUCUAUGAUUUUGGCUCCAUCUUUUCAUUUAAUGGCCUAAAGCUUUGAAUUCAAGUUCUGCUCCACUACCCUUGGUCCAUGUGUCCAAAGGUUUAACUCUGUAAUUAUCUUAUGGUAAAUUACCAUAGGGUAAAGGUUGAAAACCAUGUGUAAAAGCACAAUUUACCCAACUCAAAAAAGAGAUAAAAAACACUUCUUUGUUAAUCAAAUUUGUUUAAGGCAAUUGCAAUGCCGUAAAUAAGCCAUAAGGCACUCUCCUACUCUAGGAUUUGCCCUCAAACUCUUUCAAUCUUUCUAGAAGAAAAGAUUUGACUCCUCAAGAAUACUUUCAUAUUUAAGAUCAUUAUUCCCAUUGUGUUCACUAACAAGCCAUAGAAUGCUCACACACAAGCUUAGGGCUAUUAUAUUGCCAUUAGCAAGUUAUGAGAUAUUUCUAGUGAAAUUGUUUGUUGAGAGAUCCAUCACUUACAACCCCAUGAGCAAUGCAAUUGCCAGGCAGUUUUAGAAAACACUCUUCAUCUUAAUUCUACAAGAACAUUAUUAAAUAUUGUUAAACACUUUUAAAUGCUUCAAGAAAGAGGUGAGGCUCAACUUAACCCUUUUUGUUACUAUCUCACGCUCCUAGCCAAAUCUUUUAUAACCAGAUUGCAAAUCCUUAUCUGCGUGUAAGUAAUUAAAAAGAACAAUACAAAAAAUGAUGUAGUGCAUGUGAUUAUAAGAUGAGAUUUAGAUAUAUUAUCAUUAUGGAUCUUUGGAACCUUAAAGGGAUAAAAUAAUUAAUAAGGGUUUUUUCAUCAAGUAAUUGACCUUUAUUCAGUUAGCUUAAGGAUAGUAAAAAGAGAAAGAGCUUAUGAAUAAGAGUGCAACACCUUUUAAUCAAUUAAAGGUAUUAAGAUACUUUAGGUUAAACAUUUUGAGUAGUUUUGUAAUAGAAAAUUCAUGAUAAACUACUUUAACUAGUUUUUGCCAUGAGGUAAAUAAAAUCAGGAUUGAAUAUAUUGCCUUUGCUCUUUUAAAUAGUAUUAGCAAGGAAUCCAGCUCUGUUAGAAAAUACAAAAGCAAAUUAGUAAAAUCCAGAAAUAUAAGUAUAUCUCUUUUCUUCUGGUCAUACACUUAGUUCCAUAUAAAUCUAUUGUGCUCCAAUAUAAUAUCAAACAACUGGCCACCCUCCUUUUCCCCAACCCUCUUCACAAGUGCUCUCUAGAGUCCCAAGGCAUUUAAUCUAUUUAAAUUUAGCACAAAUGGUUUAGGGUUUAACCUUGUCUUAUAAUAACCCUCCUCAUUAACUGGAACUAACCAUAAGGGUGAAAGUAAAUAAUUUUUAAACUAUAUUUAAUUGUAUUAUGUUACUUAAAAAGAUCACCAAAAAUCUAAGCAGGAACACUUCCCCUCUUCAAAGUGGUGAAAACGAUGGCAAUCCCGGAUGACAAUCUUCCUUCUCGUCACCUUAGACAUGAGCUUGGCUGCUGCAUGGCAGUCGGAGCACACCCGCAGGUUCUUUAGAAUCCUUAUCGUCGUCCCGGGAGCAGUGGAGAUCACUCCAAAUGCAAUCGCCAACUUCUCACUGUGGUUGAGCAGGAGCCUCCGCUUUUGCUCCUCGCAAACAUCAUGAAGCACCUCCCUGGUGUCCGGGACGUAUCCUUGUUUCACCACCAACUCAUGGAGCCUUCCAAGCUCGCGACGAAUUUCCUGGUUUCGUACGUGGCUCGUGUCCCCGACCGUGAACUUGUGGAGCUUUCUGUCGAUCUCUAUCAAGCUAAUCCCUGGCUGCUUCACAACGUUCCUGUCCUUCAUGAGCCUCCUCACUGCCUGGACGUCGCUCUCCAUGCCGAGAGAAGCGUACAAGCUGGCCAGGAGUACGUAAGGAGAAGCGUUGCGCGGCUCCAGCUCAAACAGCCUGUGUGCUACCCGAGCGCCCCGUUCCACGUCUCUGUAAGUCUUGCACGCGCCGAGGAGGCUUCCGAGAGCCACUUCUAGAAAGCCCGAGCACCCGGCAGCCUGGAAGUCGAUGAGUUCUUCGGCGGCGUCGAGCUCUCCCGUCCGUCCCAGGAGGCUCACCACAGACUGGUAGUGAUCGCUGCUCGGUUGCAAGCCGUGGUCGCUACUCAUGGACUGGAAGUAUUGGACGCCCGUGUCGAGGAGUCCCAAGUGGCUGGACGCCACGAGAAUGCUCAUGAAGGAUAUAGAGUUUGGUCGGAGGCCUUCGACGAGCAUUGCAUGGAAGCUCUCCAGAGCGUUUCGGCAUAGCUCAUGCUCUUCGCUGGUGUCGACCGUGUGCCCCUCGCUCGAGCUCGGGCUCGUAUGCCCGCUGUGGGCAUAUCCGCCGAUGAGCGAGUUCCAAGUUGCCACAUCCCUCUCGAGCAUACUGUCAAAGAGCUCCUUUGCUUCUUCCAUCCUCCCGUUGUGAGCAUAAGCCGCCACCAUUGCGUUCUGGGACACUAAGUCCGGCUCUUCAAUGCAGGAGAAGACGGUUCUUGCCUCCUCGAGCUGGCCAUACUGAGCGUAGAACACCAGCAUCACUGUCCUCGAGACGGAGUUGUGCUCGGGAAAGUUCUCGUAGAGGCUGCUGGCUUCUUCCAGAAGUCCUCCCUCGGCAUAGGCAUGUAGCAAAGUGAUCCACGAGAUCGUGUUCCUCAUCGGCAUUACGUCGAAGGCACUCUUCGUCUUCGAGAUCUGCCCAGCCCGAGAGUUCGCUAGCAGAAAGAAGUUCCAGGAGACAACGGUGCGUUCUGGCAUGCUGUUGAAAAACUCGCGAACCUGGUCGAGGUUCCCGCUGUGGUGAACGAGCGCCCUGAUCAUGCAGUUCCAGGAGAUGAUGCUCCGCUGCGGCAUUACCUCGAACACCAUCCUCGCGCUGUCAAAGUCUUCAUUGUCCGCAUAGGCCGUCAGCAUCGCAGUCCAAGAGACGACGUUACGAGAGUCGGCCUUGGCCUCGAAAAUGCCUCUGGCUCGCUGCAGCUGGCCGUUUUGAGCGUAAGCCUCGAUCAUAACAGUGAGAGAGACCUCGCUCAGCUCGGGCAUGCCACCAAAGAGCUCCUGGGCUUCCUCAAACCUCCCACCGCGGUAACAGGCCUCAACCAUUGCCGUCCACGACACCACCGUCCGUCCAGGCAUAAAGUCGAACAAAGCUCUCGCCUCUCGCAAGAGCCCGUUCUCAACGUAGGCCGAAAGCAUCGCGUUCCACGCGAUAACAUCCCUCGCCCCGGCCCUGUCAAAAACAGCCUUGGCAUCGGCCACCCGGCCAGCCUGACCAUACGCCAUUACCAUCUUCGUGCGUGCCACCACGUCCGGUUCGUGCAUCAUGGCGAAAGCUCUCUCGGCCUCCGAAAGAUGACCGUUCUGGGCAUACGCGUUCACCAUAAAGCUGAGCGUCACCACGUUCCACUCGGGCAUCCUGUCCAUAAAUCCCCUGGCCUCGACCAAGUACCCCUUCUGUGCGUGCGCUGCAAGGAUGUUGUUCCACGCCGAGACGUUCCGUUGCGGCAUGCUCUCAAACAUUACCCUGGCGUCACCGAGAUACCCGUUGCUUGCCAAGGCCGUCAUCAUGCAAGACCACGAGUACGCGUUCUUGGGAUUUAUCUCCUCGAACACCCGCUGUGCGUCAUCUGGGCACCCGCAUUUCCCGUACAUUUGCACGAGCAAGUUGGCGAGGAAACCAUCCUGUACUACGCCACCCCCGCCGCUGUCCAAGAUAUGCGCAUGGACGCGCUUGCCUCUUGCGAGGUCUUUCGCGUCGCUGCAAGCUCGCACCAGCUUCGCAAACUUGUCCCUGUCCAGCCUCUGUGCCAUCCGGAAAUAUCACUACCAUAUCUCUCGCCUGCUGCUGCUCCUCCUGCUGGAAAAUGACGAUCCCAUUUAUCUCUGUAACUAUCUGUCCGUCAGUGCUAACUCCCACCUUGCUUCGUAUCCACCUGUCUAUCUGUGCCGCUAUCGCUAUUCGCUAACACCCAGCUUGGCUUGACUGAUAGGCCCGAGCCGGGCAUAGCACUUCGCACGGUAGACAAACGGCUUCACCAUGCCCGAAGAGGUAAGCCAUCGUACGCCAAGUACGCCUCUUUUGUCGACACUCGCAAAGGCUACUCCGCCAUCCACAUGCAUAGACCGGGCAGCAAAAGUUGCUCCACAUAAAUAGCUAUCAGCACCACAGCGGCAGGAGCAGCAGCAGCAGAGAGCUCCAGCUCCAGAAAAGAAAAGAAAGCCUGCCUGCCUUCACCAGUGUCAAAUCAAUCAGUCGUGGGGAAUACUAGGAGAAGUAGAAGAGAGAAAGCUCACUUAACUGACUUAAGCUCGGUGCGCGACUCCGCUGAUGAUAUGUUGCAUAACGCAGCAUGUGAAGAACACAGUGGAGGUGUCGACGUCUGCAAGCUCUGGUGAUGCUCUUUUAACUUUGCUCUCGUUUCGGUACUAGCGGCCCAAGGACUUUUACCAGAAGAGCCACCCAUUCCUUUCGUCCUUCAGUUGCGUGCUGGAUUAACGGGCCCUCAGGAAUCUCUCCAGAUUGCAGGCAAAGGAGAACGCUGCUGUGAUUGUGAUGCCAACCCUGUAACCUCCCUCGCGUAUUACAGACCGCGGCACGAUAUAUAGGACGAUGAAUUUUGGCUUCCAGCCGCAGUAGCCAGGAGCUGGAGCAGCAUAGCUACGAGUGUCCUCAAAACUUGGUCCACUGGAGAAGAAUCUUUCCAUAGAACUCUGCUGUCAGCGCCACCAAAGAUAUGUUGUUUUCGGUCUUAUAGGAUGCUGCUGCUGCUGCUGCUGCUGCUGUUUGUCUCUAGAGUCACAAGCCUUGCCAAUGCCGGUAGCAUGGUUGUCUCCAACAAAUUCUCCUGCUGGCUGCUGAUCUCACUCCUCCUCCUCCAGCUCGCUAGUCUCACAACUCCGAGUCCUUUCCCCCGGGGUAAUAAUUCGCUAUUCAUGUCCCUUUGUCUCAAUAUGCCAGCUGAUGCCAUUGUUGUCGUUCGUGCUGUGCAGGAAGAAAGGAUGACCCUCGUCGCCACGACAAUCAAAGCCUGGCAAGGGUGAUUGCCACAGCACCGGGAUCCAAGCCUCCGAGUUGUCUCAACAAGUGCGACUCUUGCACUCCAUGCCAGGCAGUUCAAGCGGUACAAGAAGCUCCGGACACUGUUAUAACGGGUAUAGGCUCCAGGCCACCGAGCUGCCAGAAUAAGUGCAACCGAUGCCUCCCUUGCCAAGCAGUCCAGGUUCCCACCCCCGAUCCCAAGGAUGAGGAGGCCAAGCGAGUUUCUCCGGCGAAAGAUGAACGUGAGGCGGCUGCUCUUUACUCCAAUUACAAGCCCAAAGGAUGGAGGUGCCAAUGCGGAAACAAGCUCUUCAAUCCGUAGAUAGCAGUAGUGUUCCUGUUUGCGUUUGUGGCAUGUCAGUUCUAGCAUAGAGUGUAAGAUCGAGAAUGUCUGUUUGUUUUACCGAGAAAAGUAGACUUUUUUCCGAGAGUGCUCGGCCUCUUACUGUGACGAUAGCUGAGCGAAGAACACGUUCAUGGGAAGGAACAAAGUUCGUCGUUGACAUGCGGCGUGGUCCGUCCAUCGCCAAACGAGUUUAGCACCAAAGCUCAUUUGACCGGCCUCGUACAGACCACGCAUUAUUUCGCUGAGAAGUCUUCCGUACCUGGUCGGAUUGGGAAUAGACUUCGUAUCAAUGUGACGCCGGCCGUCAGUUGCAUACAGCUGUCUGGAUUCAGCACCUAGAAAUCAAACCUCCACAAGUCAUGCGUCCAUUUCCAGAGGCCAGUGUAAAAUAAUCUUACUCUUGAAUCUGGAGCCGAUUCUUUUAGCUGGGUAAGAAGACGAGAUGCUUGCGCUUUCAGCCUCCUGCAAUUACAGUGGAUCAGCGAUGUUUAGAUAAACGGAAAGGGAUACAAGCAAAGGACGGAUUCAAUCGGAUCCCUCUUAGAGCUUUGAAGUGGAGUCAUUUAAUACCUCGGGUCCUUUUCUUGUUCUUCUUCUCCAGAGCAGAUGUUACAGUUCGACAAGCCCGAAAGCAAGGUCCAUUAAAGUCGACAGUCUGGAAAAUGUCAAUGUUUGAUGCUUUAAAGCUGCUAGUCCGAGCAAUGUGUUGGAUCCGAGCAUUUAACGUCCCAAAUUUUAAGCCACUGCAAUAUAACAAGAAAAAUACUGUUAGUUUUUUUAACACUCUUUCAAAACUUCUCUGCAUAUCAACAAAGCCAGAACAGGAAAAAGAACUCACCGACGCUUGUCCGAAUUCUUCACUGUAAGGCCCUGAAAUAUUUAUCUUGUCGGAGGAUAUUUUUGUGAUGCUGCUCAGAGAAAUUUCUAGAGGGGGGCUUUCCGCCAGUGCUAAAAGGCCAUGGCUUUCUAUAUCGCGAAGAACGGGCUUCCUGUUACAUCAAACAAAGUGGGAUUUACGUAUCAGAAUAAAACAAUACCUUCACAGAUUGUCCAUGAUGCGAUUCAUGCAGAAACAUUCAAGAGGUCUUGUCCACGCACGGUUUUCAUCUCUGAAAAGAUGACGGUACUGGUGGCAGGAGGAGGGACCAAAACCUGCAACAAAACAAUGGUUAGCUGCAAGCGAGAGUGAUCGACACUAAAGAGAUUUGACUCGACCAUACCUUGUAGAAACAAUCCUUAAUCUACGUUUUGCGUGGUUUUAGAUCGAAUAUCUUGGAUCUGGGAGAAGCUUGCCUAAAUCGCCAAGUUAUCCCGUGUUGAGGAAUACAAGUACCUGAAAAAAAAAUUGUUAGUACAGAACAGAAGGCGAAUAAGAAGAAGAAAUGAAGUAGCAGGAAAAAAAAAAGUGGCAAGGACAUAGUGAUCGCAUAAAGGACUAGUGGAAUUCAUUCGACUUGUCGCUUUGGAUAAAACAUGCAAGAACCUCGCAGAUAAACACGAGCUAUUUGGAUUCUUAAGAAACAUACCGCGCCAUAGACUCAAUCUUACCCCACAUUGGAAAAAAAUCGACAAGCUGCGAUUUUUCCAACGCGAUUCUUACCUCGCCUGGCGAGAUCGACGCAAGGAACCCUAUCGAUUGCUCGAAAGCCCUAAAUCUUCCCCCCAAUAUUUUCAAAUUUGGGAAUUUCUUAGGGUUCUUGGCCAUGGCGAGGAAAAUCCAGCUGACGCUUCUAGGAUGCGGGGGCGUCGGGCGCCAGCUCCUCCGCCACAUUGUCUCCACUCGUAAACUACACGAAGAUCAGGUAUCUAUUCGCCUAUCGCCCAAGAUUUCUCUCUUUGAAUCAAAUGCUCAGGGUUUGCGAGUCGCUGUGAUGGCUGUAGUGGAUUCCAAAUCCAUCGUUUUGGGUGAGAAAAACGAAGAACUGGACGACACUGCUCUUCUGCAAAUUUCUCUUGCGAAGGAAAAGAACAAUCAAAUGCCCGGUACAUGUCUGUUUUUAUUUUCCUUUUCUUUAAACGAUGAAAGCUCAGCUGGAUUGAAUGCGCGAGCCGUUCGCAAGGAAUAUUUUGAUGCAACUCUAGCAGCUGCGAUAAGAACCAUCACAGAAGAAACUGGUAAAACUUUCCUUUCAACUUUUUUGAUGGAUGAUCAUGCACCUUUUUUUCUUGUUUAUCCUACAGGUCGUCCUUUGGUUGUAGCUGACUGUACCGCAAGCGAAAAAAUUGGACAAGCACUUGCAGAGAUCGCGGACUUGAAUUGCUGCAUUGUUCUUGCGAACAAGAAGCCUCUCACCAGCUCGUUUGUAAGAUCGUUCUUUUUUUGUUUCUUCUUUUUUCCUUGACCCAUGGCUGCAGAACGUUUACGAUAGGAUUGCAGCACUGAAUCGACGUUAUCGCUGUGAAUCAACAGUUAAGCAAGAAGUAUUUGUACGUACAUUUUACAAACAUUUCUCAAGCAGGUCGGUGCUGCUCUGCCAGUCAUAGCAACUUUGAACCGUCUGCUAAAUUCCGGAGAUUCGAUCAGGAAAAUUGUUGGUGCUCUCAGUGGUUUGUCCUUUCAUUCCCAUAAAAAAUUUGCCACUUCUAACGUCCUUUGUCAGGCACUCUCGGCUUUGUAAUGAGUCGGUUGGAGUAUGGUGAAUCGUUUAGUGAUAUUGUGAGACAAGCGAAAGAGCUUGGUUACACCGAGCCAGGUAGCUAUCUUUCUUUUCUAUUUUUCGUGUAGUUUAUUCUUACGCUUUCAGACCCUCGUGAUGAUCUUGGCGGUAUGGACGUAGCAAGGAAGGUGAAAUCACUUGCUACUAUCUCGUGAAUGCAACAUGACUUCUUUCAUUUUUCAGGCGCUUAUAAUGGCUCGACUAAUGGGAUGGAGAAUAAACUUAGAGGAUGUGGAGGUACUCACUUUCUUUGGUUGGAUUCCUCUUAGUGACGUGCUGCUUAAAGGUUGAGUGCUUAUAUCCGCCAAGUCUGGCUCCCAAACUGAUGAGCACCAUGCAAUUUCUAAAAGGACUACCCGAACUCGACUUGCCAAUGAGAAACCGUGUGAAAGAAGCAGCUGCUAGGGGUUGUGUUCUACGAUAUGUGGCGACGAUCGAAAACUUUCAGUAAGUCAAUCCGCCUGAGCUUACCAAAAACCUGUCCUUUGCUUACAGUUGCAAAGUGGGAAUUGUAGAGCAGCCUCAGCAGUCCGCUCUCGGUCAGCUGCAUGGAAGCGAUAAUCUGGUAAUUGUAUAGAGCUUGUGCGUUUCCUGAAACUUUGUUCUUGCAGGUCGAGAUUUUCACGCGCUGUUAUUCGACAUCGCCUCUUGUUAUUAAGGGAGCCGGGGCAGGCAAUGAUACUACAGCCGCUGGUGUGUUAGCGGACGUUUUGGACCUCCAAGACUAUUUUGGCUAGGUAUCGAAUCUUAAGCAAAAUCGAACUUUUUAAUAAGCCUUCCUAUUCUUGCUUCAUAUAAGGGAGAGAACGUAGGAGACAGAUUUCUGCACAGAGAAAUGUCGUCCCAGCGAAUGUUUAUCGAGCACCUGCGUCGCGACCGCUUUGGAAUCGGCCAGUCCGGUCCCAAUCCUCUCGCUCUCAUGCUCCAGGAGACGAUCAGGCUCCUCUCGGCCGAGCUCUACCAGAAGGACAUCCAUUUCCUGUCCGAACUCCUCCAGGUACUUUGCUCGAACUUGGUUCUGUACCUGACAAACAUGAGCGUCAUAGAACGCUGAGGACAACACUUACCAUUCGUCCGUGGAGCCGAGCAUCGAAAUCUAUCUCACAAAGACCGACGUCACUGGCACUGGAGCAGCUGCCACGCUGCUGCUCUUGAACAACGAAGUUGGUUUCUCGGAAAAGAAUAUAGAGUCCUUGUGCGGCGCUGGUCAGUCCACAAAGAAAGGAAAGAAAUCUCAAGGAUACAUUGGCGAGAAAGGUGAGAUAAUUCUUUCUUACCUCUCCCUCUCUAGCCGUGGUAACGUCUCUUGCUCGUACAGGAAUUGGGUUUAAGAGCGUUUUUCUCGUCACCAAGCAGCCGUAUAUAAUCACCAAUGGCUUUCGUAUUCGUUUCGACGAAGAGCCCCACAACGAGGCCAAGCUCGGGUAUAUUGUCCCGGAAUGGGUCGACCGUCCUACAGACGCUGUGCUGCAGAAGGUCUGUAGCAAGACCGAGCUUCCUGCAACGGUGAUCAUCCUUCCCUUGCGUCAGGAAAAGAUUUCGGAGGUGGCAAAACAGCUUACUCAAAUCCCAGCGGAGACGCUCCUCUUCUUAUCGAAGAUACGCAUGCUCUCCAUCUACGAUCAGCAGUCGCGGCCUCCCACGGAACUGGUUCUCUCCAGAUCUGUGGAGAUGACAACGUCAAAGAAUGGAAGCGUGGAAACGAGCACAACUUUUCUGACAGCUAGUAACGGACGGAAUGGCACUCAGCACAGCAACUACUACAUGUUUAAGCAGACUUUGAAAGUACCUGAGGAGGCCAAGGUUGAAAAGCGAAAAGAUGUCGAUAGCUGGACGAUCACUCUAGCCUUUCCGGUGGAUGAUCGUAUCUCGAGCAGCUGCAGCAUUGGCGAUAUCUUCUCGUUCCUGCCUUCCGAUAUCCACUCGGGCCUGCCGUUUCUUAUCAACUCGGACUUUUUGCUCGUUUCCUCCCGUGAGACGCUCCUCUUUGACAGCCCCUGGAACCAGGGGAUCUUUCGCUGUGUUCCCGAGGUUUUCUACAACGCCUUCGAGCUUCUCCUCAACACCACGGCGUUUGGACUGCAGAGUAUACCGUCAGUAGCACGCAUGGCAAUGUACAAGUACGUACCUGUGACUGCUUGCCGCAACUCGUACCUCGAGAGAGUCCGCAACGAUAUCUUGUCCAAGCUGAAGGACAACAACGUCAUUCUUUGCGCCUCGGACGUCGGCCGUGCACCACCGAGCGGGCAGCUUUGCAAGCCUGCUCUUGCGAGAAAAAUCGCCCCCAGCUUCCGAGAGCUCCUCAAAGCCGCACCGAAGUGUCCCAGGUUCUUGCGAGGAAGUCCCUGGUUCUUGCGACGAAGUUCCUCGUACAUAGUGGACAGCACGCUGCAGGAGAACUACGGCUCGGUGCUGAGACUCCUGGGAGUCCCAGAUAUGAGCAACGAUGAAUAUCACCAAAGCCUCGACUCUGAAGACUGGAUGAGAUCGCUCCCCGACGAUGCAUAUGUCAAGCUGCUGGUGUUCCUGUCCUCCAAGUCGUCAACUUUGAGAUCCCUCAGGUUUCUCAAGUAUCGAGGCUCCGAUGGUCGACUCCAGUUGGCAAGCAUGGAUGAUCUCGCGCGAAACGAUGGCAGAUCCAUGUACUGGGAUUCUGGUCACAGAGCUACCGCUUGGCUCGCUGGUUGGACAGAGGUGUUUCAACGUUGGCUAACUUUCAACUUCGUUCCAUCGGCCUGCGCUGCAAAAAUCCGGCAGCACUCGGUGUUAGAGAACUGGUUGGAGAGAACCCCCUUCAGCGUGAGCGAACUGACAGCAUGCUCACUCGCUCGUCAGGUUCUUGGAGCAGUCACUGCGAACUCCUCAAAUGCAAAGCUUGCUGUUCUAGCGAUGCACUUCCUGUUCGACCUGUACAGAAACGACCGCAGCUCGUACACAUCCAUCAGCAACCAAAAGCGUAAUGAACCAAUCGUCGAGAAUGACGGAGCCGUGAGUCCCUAUGUUGCGAGUUAUGUUUCAACGCGUCCAUUGUUGCUACCGGCGGCUUGUGGAGCGAAGUGGCCGCUCUUGCUCCCGUCUGACGCGUGGAGACGCGGCGUUCGAAAAUUGUCAGAAGAGUAUAUGGAGUCAGCAACGAUCGAUCUCUCCGACUCCGACGUGCGAACCGAGUUUGUGAAUUUUCUGAAGGAGCAGUUCCUGGCUACGGACAUCCCCGCCUUUGAUCCGGUGGACGAGGCCCUUCCUCCGCAUUAUGUUGGUAACGUCGCAGCGAGCUCGUUGUUACUGAAGUGGAUUAAAUCCAGGCACUGCAAUGCACCCGCUUUCACUUCCAGUAUUAAGACUACCAAGUGGUUGAAGACGAGCCACGGAUACUGCUGCCCAACCGUUGCAUUCCUGCCGGUGCCUGAGCUGCUUAAAGUCUUGAAAGUCGAGGACGUUCCGUUCGUGGACAAGGACUGGAUGCCAUUGGAGGAGUAUAAGAACGAGUUCCGAAGCCUGGGAGUGGCUUGCGAGCCCGGCAUGGGAUAUGCAACUGUCCUCCGCUGUCUCGGCAAUAUGCAGAAGCUUCCUGCUCGGCAAGUCGACACGGCUAAAGUGGUCAGAUUUUAUCAGUACCUCUCCCGCUGCGCUGAACAAGAAUUAUGGAGGGACGUUGACGUGAUCUGGGUGCCGCAGAGCGAAGGCCGUGCAGCAACCUGGAAGAAAAAGGAAGAAUGCGUCAUUCACGACGUUGAGGGCUUGUUUGAAGAACUCGGUGUUGUACCUCUGGAUAGCUGCUACGAGCGGGUCAUGCAAGACAUCCUUCAGAAGAGGUUUGAUGUUUGUGAGAAGCCUUCGAUCAUCAAGUUCUGCGAGCUCUGGCAGAGGUGGUCGUCUAAAGGAAAAGAUGUCGAGGUACAAAAGGCUUACACAGUGUGGCGUGAGCUGGUGGAGGCGAAGCUAGUCUCGUCACGACCAACUUCGACGCCGUAUCUGAAAGUUUUCCGCGCGAGCAGCUGCGUUCCUUCAAUACCAGCCUGCGAAAAGAACGCAGCCACCGUGAAGCUUCUUCCGCCUGCAAAGACGGUCAUGGUUGAUCAGCUAGAGCUGGAACAUCUCUUUAGAAACACUAAUCCUCGUCCGUGGGUGGCGUGGUAUCCAGCCAGCCAGGAGAUCAACACGCAGGAGCUAUAUGAAGUCUAUUCCUGGCUGGGGGUCAAGACAAUCUCCGAAUGUGCUGAAUCGGAGACGGACACGAGCUGCAUGAGCCUCUCACUCGGAAGGAAACUGGUCUGGGACGAAGGAUACAUCCACCUGGGACUGUUUAGAGCAAUACUCGGGUAUCUGGCUCUAUCACUCUCCGUCAAGGAGCGACAAACCAUAGUGCAGGAACUGCUGCGUCUAAAGGAGGUGGAACUCGAAACGGGCCUGAAAGUUCACUGGACUCUUCGCGUUGGAGACACUACACGUCACGCGGUCUCGGAGAGGAUGCUCUACUGGAACAGGGAGAGGCAGGAACUAGCCUAUGUCGACGAGGGGCAAAGGAAGAAGAGGAACACAGAGUUUGGGACCGAGUUCGCGAGGAUCAUAGCGGAGGGUCUGCUUUUCCACCACCGGGACUUGAUUCCAGGCAUGGAGAGGCAUCUGAGCAUGCUGGCAUUCUCUAAGUUCGACGUCAUGGAGGUGGACAACAUGCUCAUCAAGCACAACAUGCGGCUCUAUAGCGAGGACGAGACGUUUCUAAAGACCGGGGUGAUUGUGGAUCCAUCUAAAGCUGACGCUGAGAAGAACUUACAUGGUGGUGAAGCAGUCGCAGAGAUGGAACCGUUUGUGCUACCGGAUGUUCCUGAAACGGAGGAAGAUCAGCUGGAGAGAGAUUCAAGAAUUUCCGAACGUCCAGCAGACUCGAGAUCCACCACCAUUGUCGUCGCUCCAAGUUCUUACUCUCCAGCUUUUGUCGCUGCUACUCCGAGACCACCACCUCUGGACAACCGGAAAUACCUCCUGGAGCAAGCUUUCCAAGUCUUAUCAUCGCUGGACGAGAUCAAAGACGAGGCGUGGACGAUGGAGCUGCCAGACGAGGUUUUUAACUCAGAGAAGAUCAGCGCGUGGCGAGAGACGUACCUUCCAACAGUUCGUCGCCUUUUGGACUAUCCACCCGAGGAAGGUUACCUCAAGCCCGGGAUGAGGACUGGCAUGUCUCUAGACAAGAUGCUCACAGCGGCAUUUCUCGACGCUGGAAACUUUCCGGGAGUGAAAGGAUCGAGCCACCAUCACUUGAGCGUCGUUGGAGCAGCGUGCCUCAACCUGUGCCUGGCGAUGGAGCUCGUCAAGCUAGAUGACAAUCACCACGGCGGAGUAAACGGCGCUUACAAGCUGACGAACACCUCCCUGCUCGCGGCGUGCUUCCAUGCCUGUGGGCUGGACGAAUCUGUGCUGCGCAGCUCGAAUUCGGCAGCCGUGAGCGACCUCGUGGGGGCGAGCGUCGCGAGAGCCCUACUGGCUGUGGGGUUUUGCGCCUACGACGAUGGAUUGGGAGAAGUGAGGCGGAUCUACCAGGAGGUGUUCCUCGCCGCCCUCGGCGAUGCUCUCGGCUGAAAUUUUCAUGCGAAAUAUGCUAGGCUCACCGAUUUUGUCCUAAAAACUCUCCCGCCCAAGUUUUCAAAUACUUUCUAGGAAUAUAGCCAGCAUAUUCGCUACUUUGAGCUAGGCAAUCCCUGGAUGAAAGAUAUAAGACUGAUAAGAAUUUUGCCUGGAUCAAAUGACGAGAGAGGCUCACCUGGAAACUCAGCAGCCUGAUACACAGUUCCAGCAUCUUCCAAACCAUCUCAGUUGCUCAAAGAUAGCCAAAUUCAAUGUCUCGGACAUUGCAGUUGUACAGCUGCGAAUGUAAUCGAUGUCACUUAGAGGCGUUCAUUUUUGUGAAGAAGGUGAUAGGCAAAGAACAAAGGCAAAUGCCUGAGGGGCUGGCACUUCCAAGAUGCUAGCCCGGUCAUGGAAUAAAGUGAUUCUUGCAUGAAACAGAGUGGCUCAGAAUGCCUGUGCCGUAGCUGAAUGGCCCUGCGACUUUGCUGCUACCAUCCUGGAUCAUGUUCCCGGUGUUGUCGAAAGUUAAAGCUGGAAGAAGCACAGAUUAUUGCUGAGCUAGAUAAUCUUAAAUUAUGAGAACUACCAAUUUUAGUUUGCGCGUGGUUAGUAUAGUCAAAAUUAGAGUUUUUUUAUUGUUAGAUUUAUUCUAAAUUGAUAAUUCCUUUGCAGAAACCAGCUUCACAAUAUUUUAUGGUUAUUUUCAGAAUAAAAAACAAAAGCAAUAUAUGAUAGCAAUUCUAUGAUUUCUAAAAAUCAAUAAUUUUACUCCAUUAUUUAUAUUAAAUCAGAUUUUCUAUUUAUAGAGAUUAUAUUAUUAAAAAUUAUUAUAUGUAUAUAUGUUUUUAUCUUCAGAAUAAAAAACUAAAGCAAUAUAGAGAUUAUAGAGCUGUAUGUGACAUUUUAAAUAAAAUUUGAAUAAAUUCGAGAAUUAUUUAAUCCAGGUAUAUUCCUGGUUCAGAAUAUAAUGCAAUCAAUGAUAGUCCAUUAUUUGUGCAGCUAAAUCAAUAAUUAUAUGUAGAAAAAUUAAAGAAAUUAAUAUAAAUUAAAAAAAUAAAUUAAAAAAAUAUUUAUCUUUUAGGAAUGCCCAAAUAGUUUAGCUCCUUCCUAUGUGAUCACGAUUCAUAUUUUGCACUUUAUUUUUUCACUUAAAGCUCUGAAUUGUUUAAGCUUUUCUUGAUAUAAUAUAUGUGUUUAGGCAUAUCCAAAAACAUUUGUUCUAGAUUUUUUUCUAAUAAAGAACAAAACCUUCCAUUGUAACUAUUGAUGUUUGCCCAUAACCACUUUUAUGGAAAAAGAAUGUUAAUUUACACACACACACGCAUAUAUAUUUUCUUUAAUUUAAUAUUAAUUUAUAUUUAACAUUACUUUUCCCUAAUUGAUUUUAAGGUAAGAGUGUUUUUAACUCCUCCUUUAACCAAUGGAAAAAUAUGAUAGAAAAAUCAACAAUUGCAUCUAGAAUUUAGCCUUUAUUUUUUAGUUCUUUAUUUGAUGCUCACAAUAGUUAUUGAAGAGCACUCUUUAGGCAAAGGAUCAAAACAAUUUAAUCAACAAAGUAGUGAUGGGUUAAAACAUUAUGCAAUUCCUAUUGAUCAAUAGGAAUUAUACAAUAUUUCUCAGUGCAUGUCUAGAGCUUAGCAUAAUGUUAUGAGAUGUCACCUUUUCUACUUCUCGUUGCUCGUCUUUCAACUCCACUUCCUAUGGGUGAUGGUCUUAUUUUAAUGAAGGUUGAUGAUGCUGUUGUUCGAGUCCAAGGACAAGGGCAAGGCCGUGAUCAUGGCCGUGAUGUUCGUUGCUGGGCGUGUGAUGAAGUUGGUCACACUUAUUGGCAUUGUCGGCAUUUUCUAGAUUGGCAGCCACCAUUUCCUGGGUGGAGACCUUGGCAUCAACAACGUCUUGUUGGUGCUGUUGUAGUGGAAGGUCUAGACAUUGAGAUGCAUCCGGGAAACAAGGAGUCGGGCGAGUAACGGAGGGACCUUGCACAAAUAAGUCAGUGACCCCUUCAUCUAUCUUUCGGGAGUAUCAUCAAGGGGUUCACUUGGCACUAGUUCAUCUAAUGUUUCCUUUCCAAGCUCAUUUUAUUAAUAACCAAUCUUCUAUUAUUCUCUCCGUGUUGGUUGAUACAAGUUCAAGUUUAUCUUUUAUUGCUCGACCCGUUGCCACAUGUUGUUAUCUACACUUGCGUCGUGCAGUGAAGCUAGUUUUCAUUCUUUAUGGCAAUAGCUAUACACAUGCAUGUGCACGGGAUGAGGCAAAUUUAGUUAUGCGUGUGUGUGAUCUUGAGUUGGGUUGCAAUUAUUGCAAGUGGUGCUAAGUCAAGCUUUUGACCUCAUCCUUGGUAUGGAUUGGUUGCAACGCAAUCAUGCCAAGUGUGACUUUAAGGCUUUUCCCCUUUGUUUCAUACUUCCUUAUAUUUCAUCCACUCCUCUCACUUUCGAACCUCUUCGUCCCUCUAUUUCUAUCUCUGCUUCUAUUACUUUUGUCCUCCUACUCCUUCCUUCUAUGUCUCCAUCUUGUUCUACUCUUCCCUUUUCCAAUCCCUUUGACAAUCUUUGUGUUUCAAUGGUUGAUUGGUUCAUAAAGGAGUAUUUUGAUCUUUUUGAAUUUGACCUAUCAUCUGGGGCCAAAAUUGCCACACGUCAUCCUAUUCUAAUCGGGGAUGCGCGUCCAAUCAAGGUUCUUGUUCGUCGUCAGUCACCCAAAUAGAUCAAGAUUUUACAUACAAACGUAAAAGAGAAGGGUGUUAUUCAAAAGUCGCAAAGUCCUUGGGCAUGUGAACCUCAUCUUAUGACGAAGCCUGAUGGGAGUAUUUGUUUCUGCAUCAACUAUCAUCCAUUAAAUGAAGUGACAAUCCCAAAUGUAUACCCUCUUCCUCACACUGUUGAUCUCUUGGAUCAUUUGGGGUGAAGUUGUUAGUUCACCAAGCUAGAUCUUGCUUAUGGGUACUGGCAAGUACUGAUGGCUGAAAAACACAUUCCUAAGACUACUUCUUGUACACUAUUUGGUUUGUACAAGUUUUUGGUGAUGCUAUUUGGUUUGCACAAUGCUCCAGCAACUUUCCAGCGGAUGAUAGACGAGGUUCUUUGCGAUAUGCCAGAGGUGACUGUUGACUUCAUUAAUGAUGUCCUAAUUCACUCGGAGGGGACGUGAAAAGAGCACAUUCGUGAUGUUUGUAAAGUGUUGGAUUGGUUACAAGGGCAUUGGCUUAAAGCUGAAGCAGUCAAAGUGCAUAUUUAUGCCCAAGGACACGAUUUAUCUUGGGUACCGUAUUUCUCGUGAGGGUUUGCAAGUUGAUCCUAACAAAUUUGUGGCUGUUCUAAAAUUCCCUACUUUGAAGUGUGUGACUAAUGUGUAGCACUUCCUAGGAAAGAUGUAGUAUCUCAGUCAUUUGUGGAUCAUCUUUCUGAUCAUACUGCACCAUUGUGAGCAUUACUGAAAUCUGUAAGCAACCAAAGGGAACGACUCAAAAAACGAUCUAUAGGGGUUCAAAUAUAAAAGGAAAGGGCCCAUGAACAAAAAUGCACCCCCUUUUUUAAUCGGUUAAAGGUCUUGGGAUAUUUGGGGUUAAGUGUCAUUGGAUUUGAAUAAUACUUGGCUGGUGUAAGCGAUUAAUUUUUCCAUUCUACUUUAGUCACUUAGCCAUACCUCUGACCACUUGGAGGAGUCUCAUUCACAACCUCCAUAAGUUCAAUUCAGGACUUGGGGCUUGCUUGCCCCGAGAAUGGCAUUCAUGCCACUCAACCUUUGCACUUGGUCCAAGUGCUCCACGUGUCCGAUCCCAAGAUCGACACCCCAAGGUACCACCAACAUAUCAGCCCGUUAUGCUAGGCCAUGCCUAUUCACCUUGGUCACAUCAAUGGUCCAACACCAUCUGUAUUGUAAUCCUGUCUCUCCAAGACUGGGCCAUCCGUCCAUGAGUGGUCAGCCCAAAUCCACUCCUUAACAUCCUUAGGAUGCCCACAGAUAUGGGGAAUAGCCUUCCCCAGUAUCUCCUUUCCGGUCCUCACUAAGUCCCUUUCUGUUCAUGGCUGUGCUCGCCAACACUGCCAUUGGGGCAAGGCUCACAGGCCCGACCAUUAAGUCCCGUGGUCCUCUGGGACUUCUUCACCAUGUGACUAUGUCCUUGGUCACCACACCAGAGGGCUACUCCUCUUCCUUUCCACAGUCUGGGACUUUGGGACACCAUUUCGGAACACCGUGGCCCUAUGCAGGCCUCCUAGGUACUCUCCCCGCCUUCCGCCUUUGGGUGCUCUAGCCAUGGGCUUAGAGCGAGGUUCCGUUGAGCCACGCCUGGUAUCCAAGUAGGUAGUGCCACCCACAUUUGGACUGAGAGCAUUGACCUGGGGGAACUAGAGUCGGCUCUUGAACACUUCACCAAGCUACCCCGCUUGUCGAUCUAUAUUCACUCUAGUCUUGGACUUCCCAAUGGUCAGCUCAUCACUCAACAUUGGGUAUGGCCUUCCUGAGCCAAAUGGCCUUUCUUGGACAAACUGGCUCCACUAGGCUCCAACCCCCACACUCUCCCUACUAUACUUUUGGAACCCCCCGCAGCCCCCCCACCCCCCCUUGGGGGACGAUUGCUUUGGGCUUUCACCCAACUACCCGUAUUAGUAUUCGGACUCGGACUCGAGCUCGAACUCGGACUCGGACUCGGUCUCGGUCUUGGUCUCGGUCUCGGUCUCAGUCUUGGUUCCGGUUCCACCUUGGACUCCAUCUCGGAUCCAUCUUGAGUCCGUCUCGGAUUCCAUCUCGGACUCCAUCUCGGGUCCAUCUCGGACUCCUUCUCGGGUCCAUCUCGGAUCCAUCUCGGACUCCAUCUCGGGUCCAUCUCGGACUCCAUCUCGAGUCCAUCUCGGAUCCAUCUCGGACUCCAUCUCGGGUCCAUCUCGAACUCCAUCUUGGGUCCGUCUUACACUCCAUCUCAGGUCCAUCUUGGACUCCAUCUCGGGUCCAUCUCAGACUCCACUUCAGACUCCACUUCGGACUCCAACUCGGGUCCAUCUCAGACUCCAUCUCAGGUCCAUCUUGAACUCCACUUCGGACUCCAACUUGGGUCCAUCUCGGACACUUACACGUGUCAUGUGUUGGUCCUUUUGGGUCCCUUUUUGGAGCCUCGCUUAUUGCUCGUUUCAUGCUCAUUCCUCGAGCACUUUGUUGGGAGCUCCACUCCCGCUCUCAACCUUUCAAGUCGGAGCUUUUAGUCCAAACGUGUUACGCUCGUUUGGUUUUCGCUUCGGCCACCACCACAUGGCACCCUUCCGGCUCCACUUUGGGGCCUAGGGAUUUUGUGUCUCACAGUUGGAUGACCUCUUGGGAAGUCUAAAUUUAUGAGUUUACAUUUGGUAUCAAAGCAAGUCUCGAGUCUGACUCUAUUGGUUGGCUAAGGGAAUCACACCACAUGUUAAUUGACAUCUAGCAAAGGUCCAAUAUGCUUUGGCUGAGCUUGACCCAAGGAGUAGGAUGUCAAGCGAGCAGGGCUCUUGGGAAAGCUACAACUCUUAGCUUCCAUUCACGAGGGCGUGAACUUGCAGGGAAGCAUAGUGGAUUGUAAGCAACCAAAGGGAAUGAUUCGAGAGAUAAUCUAUAAGGGUUCAAAUAUAAAGGGAAAGGGCCCAUGAGCAAGAGUGCACCUCUUUUUCAAUCAAAUAUUGGGAUAUUUGGGGUUAAGUGUUCUUGGGUUUGAAUAGUAUUCUCCCGAGAAGUCCAAAUUUAGAAGCUUACAAAGUCAUCAACGUCCUCUUUCAUCUGGUCUUUGGAUUGUGAGUCGGCAUUCAUGGAUCUCAAAGAGCUCUUGAUGACUCCUCCAGUUUUGACAUAUUCUGACUACACUCGACCUUUUAUUUUAUGCGUGGAUGCUUUUGAUAUUUGUUUUGGAGGUGUGUUGAUGCAAGAGAGCCCAAGUGUACCUGGUCAACGCCAUCCUAUUGCAUAUAUAAGCCGUACAUUACAACUAACGGAGGUGAACUACUCCACGACAAAGAAGGAAUGUUUAGCAGCAGUCUGGGGUUUCGAGAAACUUGAUACAUAUCUACAUGGUUCUCGGAGGUUAUUUGAAGGUGAUCAUGCUGCCAUUACUUCAUUAUUGAAGAAAAGAACCUUGUUGGUUGUACUACUCGGUGGGCUUUGAAUCUUCAGAUAUAUGAUUUUGAUGUUGUUCAUCACCCCGAAAGUUUUAUGGGUAAUGUUGAUGCCCUUUCUCAAGCUCCUUUUCCUUUUCCACUCUCUUCUCAUAUUUUUGAUGAGCCUGUUGUUCCAGCAUCUGUGGAUUUUCUAAAUGAGGAUUCUGUGCCGUCAACGGUUGCUGUACUUGAUGUUUAAUGUCCACAAGGUGCAAAGCAAGAUCUACCUUCUCUUGACAAAGUUCACGAGGCUCAAAAGCUUCAGCCAUGGAUUCAAAGGCUUCAAGAUGGGUUUAAGAAUCUUGCAUCAUUUGUUGAUGACUUGCCAUUCUGGCAUUUACAAUGUCAAUAUUGCCUUCAAGAUGGCUUUCUUUAUUUUUUGGGGACGAAUCCUGGUAAUCCUUUAUGGGUGGUGGUGCCUUCAAUCUUUAUUCCACGGUUUCUUCAUACAUACCAUGAUUCUUUUGUUCUAUGUGGGAAUAUGGGACAUUCUCAUGUGACCAAGAAGUUGCACAGGUCUUUCUAUUGGCCGAACAUGUGACAUGAUAUUAUCUGGUAUGUGCAUAGUUGCAUUUAAUGCCAAGUUCGUAAUACUCUCCCUCGUGCUAUGGAAGGACAGUUGGAGUCAAUUGCAGUUUCCCAUCCAUUUGAGUUAGUGGCAUUUGAUCUUAUAGGACUUUUUCCACGAUCGACUGCUGGCAAUGAGUAUGUUAUUAUUGCUUUUGACUAUUUGACUCAUUGGGUAGAAAUUGGUGCUCUUGCUAGUGCCUUUACAACCGCUAUUGAAUACUUCCUCUUUAAUCGAGUGGUGUUCUAGCAUUCUUGUCUGGAGCAGAUUCUUUUAGAUAAUGGUCCCGCAUUUAUGGCUGAAGCAUUUCAUGUUUUGACGUCUCGAUUGGGGAUAUGCCACAUUUUCAUAAGUGUUUAUCAUCUAUAGUCAGAUGGUUUGGUGGAACGGCUCAUUUGAACAUUCAAAGGAAUAAUUGCGAAAUAUGUGAACUUUCAACAUUCAGAUUGGGAUGGUUAUUUGCCAUCUGUUCGGUAUACAUAUGUUACAGAGGUGUAAAGUUAUGUUGGUGCUUCACAAUAUAAACUUUUACAUGAUCAUAAUCCAAUAUUACCAACGGAGCUAGGUUUGCCUUCACAAUUGCCAGGAGCUGCCGAUGCUAGGUCCUAAGAUCAAUAUUUGACGAGCAUUCUUCCACUUGUUCGAGCAGAGUCUGCCAAACACUUAGGCCACGUACAAGUGGGACAACAACAGAGCUACAAUGCCCACCAUCGUCCACUCUUAGUGUUAAUCCGUUUUCCCCAUCUUACGGUACGUGGUUUAUCUAAGGGGUUCCUUGCUCAGUGGAAAGGUGUAAGGAACCAGCUCCCUGAGAUGUCGUAGGCUAAAGGAUCCCCGAAAGCAUGACUGAAAUGACAAAGAGUUCAUCAGAUGGGACCGAGUCUAAGAUUGAGUCUAAAACCAACUCUGAGACCGAGUUCGAGAUAGAGUCCGGGAUAGAGUUCGAGGCCAACUCAGAGACUAAGUUCGAGACCGAGUUCGAGACAAAGUCCGAGAUCUAAGAUUGGGUCUGAGACCGAGUCUGAGGUCGAGUCCGAGAUCGGGUUUGAGAUCAAAUCUGAGACCAAGUUUGAAGUCAGGUCCGAGAUUGAGUCUGAGAUUGAGUCCAAGACCGAGUCCAAGUACUAAUACAGGUUAAGGGGUGAAAGCCCAAAGUGUGCACCUCCCAGUGGGGGGGGGGGGGGGGGGGCUGUAGGGGGUUCCAAAAGUAUAGUAGGGAUAGUGAGGUCUAGGAACCAGUUUUGAAAAAACUCUCCAGUGGUGCUUCCAAACUGACUUGAGGUUGAGAUUGGAGCCAAGGGCUUUGGGUGGGAGUGAGCAUGGACUCGGGUGGUGCCGGAGGGGCCACCCAAGGAAGUGCUCAAGAAUAGCUCCCACUCCCGAAAGGGAAACCGACUAUAGUGCUCCUGGCUCAUGUGGAGUGGUGCCCCACUUGAGUACCUUAUGGCUCAUUUGUCCUUGCCCUUCUUAGGGGUUUAGGCCUUCCCUUUGGGAUGGAAGUGGGGGGGUAAAGGUACCCAUACCAGGCUGUUAGGCCAUGGUGUUUCGCCCUAGCAUCCCGAAACAUGUGUUUCACUCAAGACUUGGGAUUUAGAGGGUCCCAUGAUCAAGUCUUGUGGUACUAAGGGAUGUUAGGAGCCUGGAGGCUUGGUGUGCUUGGCUGCUUGUGCCUGCAGAGAAUGUAACCGAACCUUAAGUCCAAUCUAACUCGGGAAGGGGGAUUGGGAGAAAUUUGUAGAUGGAUGGCUAAUGCUCCAUUGCUCAUGCAGUGAGUAACUUAAACCAAACAAGACCAAGUAGGAGCUGGUACCAUAGGCGGGAACCUUGGUGAGGGAACUUAGCAAAAGCCAAGGCAGUGUUGGUCGGAUAGACGAGGUAAGCUGGCAAAUUGGAAAGGAAAAAUUUAUGGCUUACAAUUUGGUAUCGGAGCCUUUUCCUCAAUUCUAGUGAAAGAUAGAGGCGGAUUGCUGGGAGAUGGCAAAGGUAGGGUGGAAACGAACCAAGGCAGAGAUGGAACCUCCUCCAGAGCUAAAGCCUCCGGUUGAACAAGAGGCUAUGGAUGAGGAAUCCUUGCAUAAGGAGGACUCUAAUGAGGAAACUUCCAAACAGGAGUCCGAUGGUGAGGUUCAGUCAUCCAAGGCUCGAUUGGACGUUUUAGAAGGACAAUUGGCACAGACCAAUGCCCUGUUAGAGACUCUUGUACGCAAAUUAAAGCGUAAUGAGAAGCGGAAGAAAAGGCAAAAGACUACGGAUGCUGGCAACGAAGAAGGUGCAGACCCUUUGGCAAGGACUGAGGCAAAACCAAAUAAGGUCGAACAAACCGAAGUGGAAUCAGUCCCUCAGGCAAUUCCCAAGUACAAACCAAAGCCCCCACCAUCUUCAAGGGAGUGAACGACUAUAAAGUGGUGGAGGAUUGAUUUUACGAUAUGGAGGAUUACUUUUGAGCAUUGCGGUUACCGAGCUCAUAGAAGGUCCCAUGUGCAAAACCAUACUUGGCAGAUAAUGCCAAGUCUUGGUGGAGAACGACAGAGGCCAACGAAGGACUGGUGGCCACUUGGGGAAUGAUGAAGGCGAGGAUCCGCACAACUUACAUUCCUCCGAAUGCUACUUUGCAUCUAAGAGACAAACUGAGUAAGCUGAAGUAGACUGGAACCAUUCAGGAGUAUGUGAAUGGGUGUAAGGUCCUAAGUUUGGACUUUCCGGGAGGUCACCUAGCCCAAUACUAUUCAAACUUAAUGACGCUUAACCCCAAGUAUCUUAAGACCCUUAACUGAUUAGAAAAAAGGGUGCACUCUUGUUCAUGGGCCCUUUCCCUCUAUAUUUGAACCUUAUGGAUCGUAUCUCGAGUCGUUCCCUUUGGUUGUUUAUAAUGGGUUUAUGGCAAAGAGGAUACUUGUCACGAACAUGAAAGAUAUGGAUGCGUUCCAUGCCUUCAUAUCAGGCUUGCAAACCUGGGCUUGCGGUGAAGUGAUGCGUUGGAACCAACCAACUACAAGGAAGCAUUGGAUGCGGCCAUCAAGGUGCAUUUCAACGAUAUCUGUGAAAGGGGAACACGUUGGGGUUGGGGUCUAUGUUUAGCAAAAGGGCUAAAUCAAGGGGAACGUAUAGCAAAGGGAAAUUCAAGAAGAGUUUCUCUAAGAAUGAGUCCUCGAGGUUCCAGAAAGGCAAAUCCAGUGGCCAGCGAGCAAGUACGUAGGGGAGUCAAGCAAAAAAAAACAAACCCACGGAUAAGAAGGUCAAGUCAGUUAGCAGCGUGGGAAACAAUAUAUGUUACAACUAUGGUGAAGCAGAACACUUUUCAAGGGAAUGUCCUUACCCGAAGAAGGCCAAAGCCAAUAUGGUUAUUAAAUCGGGUGAAAUCCAAACUAAGGUAUGUGAUCUAGUCCCUAAUUCAAAGUUACUUAUUACACGAGUAACUUUGGUAGAGAGUCGUUCGUAACAUCUACUAACCCUCCGAGGGAAGCUCGGAGGUAGCUUUGUUAAGAUCCUUAUUGACACGGGUGCUUCGGAUAAUUUUGUGGUUGCAGACAUAGUCCGGCAAGCUGGACUAAUGGUGCAGCGGCUGGGCAAACCAAGGACUAUAGAGUUUAUUCAAGGUAGCUAAAGCACCAAUGAGGUACUUCAACAAGCGAAAGUCGAACUAAGGACAUGGAAAGUAGACAUGGAUUUCACCAUGUUGGACAUGGCGGGAUUUGACGUGAUCUUCGGGAUGGAUUAGUUCAAUCGGUUUAUGGUAGCCCUGCAUGGACAAGGUAGGAACCUUGUGGUAGUAGCGAAUGCCUAAGGAAGAAGAUCCAAGGUGGAGGCCCAUGAUCUAAAGGUAGGGCAAUUGGCAAGGUCAAAGAUUCCUGUUUAAACCUGGUGUCCACGAGAGGACAACUCACUAAAGGAACCAAGGCAGCAUUUCUGUGCUUACUCUCGGUGAAGAGUGACAAAAAGAUAGAAACGAAAGAAGUACCUUUAGUGAUCCAGCGGGUGUUGAACCAAUUCCAGGAUACCAUGCCAGAGGAGCUUGCCCCCCACACGACCGAUAGAACAUAAGAUUGAGCUGAUCGAGGGUGCUGAGGCGGUGGUCUGUCCCCCCUAUCAUUUGAACGAAAAAAAACUCGAGGAACUUAAGUGCCAGUUGGUGGACAAAAGGUAUAUUAGGUUGAGCAAGUCGCCGUAUAGGGCACCAGUGUUAUUUGUGAAAAAGAAAGAUGGAUUUAUGCGCAUGUGCAUAGACUACCAGUUGCUAAGAAGAACAAAUACCCUUUGCCAAGGAUUGAGGACCUGUUCAAUAGGUUGGGAAAGGCAAAAUACUUCUCGAGGAUUGACCUAAUGUCAAGAUACUACUAGAUCAGGGUAACAAAGGAAAAUGUCGAGAAGACAAUCUGUCGAACAAGGUAUGGGAGCUUUGAGUUUCUAGUGAUCCCCUUUGGGCUAUGCAAUGUGCCGGCAACAUUUUCGGCAUUGAUGAACCACAUUUUUAUACCCUAUCUGAAUCACUUUGUCGUCUAUCUCGUCUAUAUUGGCGACAUCCUGAUCUAUAGUGAAAUGUUAAAGGAGCAUAUUGAACACUUGACGAAGGUGUUUGAGAAACUAAGGGAACACCAGCUGUAUGUUAAAGAGAGCAAAUGUGACUUUGCUUAACAAAAGGUAAAGUUUUUUGGGUAUAUGGUGGGCAAAGAUGGGCUCAAGGUGGACCCUAAAAAGGUCCAAGCAACCUAGGAUUGGGAGUGACUAUCGAAUGUACACGAGUUAAGGGCAUUUUUAGGGCUAUGCAACUACUAUCGAAAGUUUAUCAGACACUAUUCGAAAAUAACCCUACCCUUAACAGACCUAACGGGAAAAGAGAAGAUGGUAUGAACAGUGGAAUGCGAGGCGGCAUUUAUCCACCUCAAAUGGAAGUUGAGGAAGGCUCCCAUGUUGGCGUUACCAGACUUUGGUAAAGGCUUUGAGGUAGAAACGGAUAUUUCAGACUUUGCGUUUGGUGCAAUUUUGAAGCAAGACAACCAUCCAGUAGCGUUCUUCUCGAAGAAGUUGGACAAAGCUCAACAGAAGUGGCUUGCCCACGAGAAGGAAUUGUUUGCGGUGGUCAAGGUGCUCAAGGAGUGGCGACACUACUUUGGGAGACACUUCAAAGUUUACACAGAUAAUGUGGCAACGAAACACUUCUUGUCAUAGCCCGACCUGAGAGGGAAACAGGGUCGGUGGGCCAAUGCUUUGGCCGAGUUUGAUUGCAAGAUUCUGUACAAGCUUGGGAAGAGCAACAUCGUGGCAGAUGCGCUAAGUCGAAAAGCGAGCUUGAAGUUGGUGAUAUCCAGCACGACAGCAACCUUUUGGGAUGAUGUGUGGAUAGCAUAUGAGAACAAUGGUUUAGCACAAGAAAUGUUGCUGAGGAAUCUAGAGGCAUGAGAAGCUCACUAAAAAGAUGAGCUGCCAACGAAAGAGAAAACAGGCUAUGCAGAAUGCAAUAGACUCAUCUAUUACAAACAAACGAGGGUGUAUGUUCCAAAAGGGGAACUAAGGAAGGUAGCUUUAAAAGAGUGUCAUAAUGGACCUUUUGCAGGACACGGUAGAGUGCCCAAGACGAUAGGCUUACUCAAGAGGAAGUAUCACUGGCCAGAUAUGGCUAAGGAUGUCCAAGACUAUGUAAAAACAUGUUUAACAUGUCAAUAGGUCAAAGCCAUAACUAAGGUUAGUGGGGGCUUGUUACAAAGCAUCCCAAUUCCAGAUCGUCCAUAGAAAUAUCUUACGAUGAACUUCAUCACGGGACUCCCCCUAAGUGAGGGGUUUGAUGCGAUAUUCGUGAUGGUGGACCAAUUUUCGAAGAUGGCACAUUUCAUACCCACCACAACGGAAGUGGAUGCGGAAGGUGUGGCAAAGUUGUUCUUCAAACAAGUAGUUCGAGUGCAGGGAAGGCUGGAAGAGAUCAUCUCAGAUCGAGAUAAGAUCUUCACUAGUAGAUUCUGGAGAACUCUCCUGGAACAGUAUCGCACCAAGUUGAAAUUCAGCACAGCCUAUCAUCCACAGACAGGUAUGGGGUAUUAAGUCAAGUUUGAUGGCACUAACACUUCUUGACAGACAGACAAAUGGAAAGGGUGAAAACACAGUUGGAGGAUUAUUUGCGAUGUUAUGUCUCAGGAGACCAAACUGAUUGGGUAAGUCAUUUGGGACUUGCGGAAAUGUGUUAUAACAAUUCACCACAUUCGAGUAUCGGGGUGAGUCUAUGGGAAGUCAUCAAUGGGCGAGCUAUUGAAGGUCCUAUGGAGCUUGGCGUGGCCGAGUACCAUGGAGAAUUACCCACAAUGGAGGCAUUUAUAGCGGAAAGACUUAACAUUUGGAAUCUAGUGAGGGAUUCCUUGGAACGGGCUCAACAAAGGCAAACCAAAUACGCGAACCAGAAGCAUCGGGAUAUAGAGUUCCAAGCUGAGGAGAAGGUGUGGCUGAACACCAAGAACUUUAGGCUGCCAAGUGGGAUCAACCAGAAGUUGACCCAAAGGUAAAAAUGCAUUUAUUCCUGGAAAUGAAUUGAUCUUGAGUUCCUUAAGCAGGUUUGCGGGGCUUUACGAGAUUGAAGCACGAAUCGGUAAAGUGGCUUACCGUCUCUGACUUCCUCGAGAGAUGGGGAAGAUACACCUAGUGUUUCACGUGAACUUACUCAAGCCGUGCUUUGAGGAUCCGCUUCAUAAGGACCAAGUAAGACCUUUACCUGAGGUUAUAUAAGGGGAGGAGGAAUACGAAGUCGAGGCCAUCCUUAAUGCGCGCAAGAGCAAGUGACAAGGACGCGAGGUGAGAGAGUUCCAUGUGAAGUGGAAAGGAUUUCCACACUGCGAAGCAACAUGGGAACCAAAGGAGAACCUAGCGAACGCGUGAGAUCUAGUGGAGGAAUUUCUGCAAGGCAGAACUCUAUGUACUUAUGCAAAGUUCAAUUAAAGUAUCAAUUUGCGAAGUUGAGCAAUGGCAUAUGUUGGGACCCGAAGGCGUGCCAAAGGUAAGCUAAUUAGCAUGGGUUAGCUAGGUUGACCACGCAUAAGAAACUUUGCCAACUCUCUACGGGGAUGUCAAAUCCAUAGACGUAUUCUAUGGAGGUUAGGUUCGAGUCCCAACCCCCUAGUAAAGCAAGGUUGGGUUCAAGUCCCAACCCCAUACUAGGGUGUGGUGAGGUGAGGGGUAUAGGGACACCUAUAUUCCAUUGUCAUGGACUCUUGGCCAAGGAGGCUAACUUAGGCACACUACUAAGUGGGGGGAUGCCCCUGGAGAUAUGGUCAACAAGUCGUAGCAUAAAAAGAGAUGUUCGAUAUGGGCAUCGAACUUCUUUUAUGGGUGGUGGAGUUGUAAGGAACCAACUCCCCAAGGUGUCGUAGGCUAAAGGAUCCCCGAAAGCAUGACCGAAAUGACAAAGAGUUCAUCAAAUGGGACCAAGUCUGAGAUCGAGUCCAAGACCGACUCUUAGACCGAGUUCGACAUAGAGUUCGGGAUCGAGUCCGAGGCUGACUCGAAGACUGAGUUCGAGACAGAGUCCGACACCGAGUCUGAGGUCGAGUCUGAAGUCGAGUCUGAGAUCGGGUCCGAGAUCGAGUCCAAUAUCAUGUCCGAGACCGAGUCCAAAGUCGGGUCCAAGACCGAGUCUGAGAUUGAGUUCGAGACCGAGUCCAAGUACUAAUACAAGUCAAGGGGUGAAAGCCCAAAGCGUGCGCCUCCCAAGGGGGGGGGGGUUGCAAGGGGUUCCAAAAGUAUAGUAGGGAUAGUGAGGUCUAGAAACCAGUUUUGAAGGAACUCCCCAGUAGUGCUUCCAAACUGACUUGAGGUUGACACUAAAGCCGAGGGGCUUUGGGUGGGAGUGAGCAUGGACUCAGGUGGUGCCAGAGGGGCCACCCAAAGAAGUGCUCAAGAGCAGUUCCCAUUCCCGAAAGGGAAACCGACUGUAGUGCUCUCGGCUCAUGUGGAGUGGUGCCCCACUUGAAUACCUUGUGGCUCAUUUGUCCUCGCCCUUCCUAGGGGCUUGGGCCUUCCCUUCGGGAUGGAAGUGGGGGCGUAAAGGUACCCAUAUCGGGCCGUUAGGCUACAGUGUUUCGCCCCGGCAUCCUGAAGCAUCUAUUUCACUCAAAACUUGGGAUUUAGAGGGUCCCAUGAUCAAGUCUUGUGGUACCAAGGGAUGUUAGGAGCCUGAAGGCUUGGUGUGCUUGGCUGCUUGUGCCUGUAGGGAGUGUAGCCAAACCUUAAGUCCAAUCUAACCUGGAGAGGGGGAUUAUGAGAGAUUUAAGAAUCCGUGGAUGGAUAGCUAAUGCUUUGUUGCUUGUGUAGUGAGUAUCUGAAACCAAGUAAAACCAAGUAGGAGUUGGUACUAUAAGCAGGAACCUUGGCGAGGGAACUUAGCAAAAACCAAAGUAGUGUUGGUCGGAUAGACGAGGUAAGUUGGCAAAUUGGAAAGGAAAAAUUUAUAGCUUACAAAAGGACCAUAUCAAGUGUUGUGGCAAGUUUAAUCCGAACCACUUGCUCUUGUAUAUAAACUAAGGCUUUUGGGCUAAUUGAUAUGCAUAUUUCUUGUAUUUCCUUUCCACAUUCCAUGCACACACACACACACACACACAUUCAAGCAUUAACAUCACCUAUCGUAAAAUCUCUUAAGAAUGUCCUCAAAGGCACCCUCCUUCUCAAGUGCAAAAAUAACUUCACACAACUCCACACACACACAUAUACAUACACAUAUAUAUACAUAUACACAUAUCCCGGCAAUGGCUGUAGCGGGCAUCCUCAGCUAUUUUAGCAAGACUCUUUUGCUUUUCUUCUUACCAUAGAUUAUUAACUUUGUUUACUCCAUUCCACAGGUAAGUUAGCCAUAUAAUCUUUUGGUUUUUGUGCUAAGUAACUUGCCUCGCAGCUCUUCAAAUGGGUGCCAUGUCCGAGACAUCUUCCAAACCAUCUCAAGAACAAGUUAACCAGAUUCAUAUCCUUACUGCCUGUUAAAAGCCCUGUUUUCGGCUCAAAGCUACAUCACAAAAGUCCUACAAGUUAGCGAUUGUAGACGCUCCAACAAGCAGUUGUGUGAGAUAAAUUGAGAAGGCGUGUCCUUGCUGGUAAUCAGCGUCUGAGCUACUCACGAUUUGCAUCAUGUUGUGAAUCAAAAUCUGUAAAACAUCAUGUUCUGGUCACAGAAAAAGAACAAAGAAAAGAAAGAACAAUGCACAUACUGCAGAAGAUAUCACAAGAGUUUGCCCAACGUCCAGUCCAUUCACGCCGGCGAGAAUGUUGACAGCGUUGGUGCAAAACACGGCUAACAGGCCCAUGUAAACUUUGUAUAGCACGCCUAACAAGUGUAAAAACUGUUCAAGAACAAAUCGAACCAAAAGAAAAGAAGAAAAAUCUUACCCAAGUCGAGCACCUCCAUUUCGAGGUAGACUCGAAGAGGUUUCGGAAUAACAAUUGUCGUGUGCCCUGCGUAUCCCAUCAGUAAGGGAAGAGCAGCGAAAGAAGGAAGCAAAAGUUUCCUGAGAGCAAAAGAAACACUCGAAUUUGUUUCGUGAGGAGAUCAUGAAACUUACACGCGCCAUGGGACGUCGAGGACGUCGUCCACAAAGCCGAGAAGAAUCAUAAAUAGUAUAGAUGUGAGAGCCGCAUUGUAAAAUCGAGGAAAAUCCAGCUGACGCUUCUAGGAUGCGGGGGCGUCGGGCGCCAGCUCCUCCGCCACAUUGUCUCCACUCGUAAACUACACGAGAUUUCUCUCUUUGAAUCAAAUGCCCAGGGCUUGCGAGUCGCUGUGAUGGCUGUAGUGGAUUCCAAGUCCAUCUUUGCGAAGGAAAAGAACCCGGUACAUGUCUGUUUUUAUUUGCCUUUUCUUUAAACGAUGAAAGCUCAGCUGGAUUGAAUGCGCGAGCCGUUCGCGAAGAAGAUUGAUGGAACUCUAGCAGCUGCGAUAAGAACCAUCACAGAAGAAACUGGUAAAACUUUCCUUUCAGCUUUUUUGAUGGAUGAUCAUACAACUUUUUUUUCUUGUUUAUCCUACAGGUCGUCCUUUGGUUGUAGCUGACUGUACCGCGAGUAUAAAAAUUGGACAAGCACUUGCAGAGAUGGCGGACUUGAAUUGCUGCAUUGUUCUUGCGAACAAGAAGCCUCUCACCAGCUCGUUUGUAAGAUCGUUCUUUUCUUCUUUCUUCUUUUUUCCUUGACCCAUGGCUGCAGAAAGUUUACGAUAGGAUUGCAGCACUGAAUUGACGUUAUCGCUGUGAAUCAACAGUUGAGCAAGAACUAUUUGUACGUACAUUUUACGAACAUUUCUCAAGCAGGUCGGUGCUGCUCUGCCAGUCAUAGCAACUUUGAACCGUCUGCUAAAUUCCGGAGAUUCGAUCAAGAAAAUUGUUAGUGCUCUCAGUGGUUUGUCCUUUCAUUCUCCUAAAAAUUUGCCACUUCUAACGUCCUUUGUCAGGCACUCUCGGCUUUGUAAUGAGUCGGUUGGAGUAUGGUGAAUCGUUUAGUGAUAUUGUGAGACAAGCGAAAGAGCUUGGUUACACCGAGCCAGGUAGCUAUCUUUCUUUUCUAUUUUUCAUGUAGUUUCAGGUAUCGGACUCUAGAACACGCACUAACACCGAACAUCGUGGGAUGCAGCCGACAUUGUACCAUGGACAGGGAUUGGAAUAAAACAGACGUAAAGACAGAAUCACAUCUGCCGCCCAUAUUUACUUUAGGAGGGACUUUAGGCUCUAAUGAAAUACUGAGUUGCCUCAAAUAAAGAAUUCAGCGAAUAAAGCCUCAAGCGUGAUCGCAAGUCACACCAUCUAUAUAAAAAAUGCCAGUGAACCGUAAUGAAAGCGGGCGGGAGGCGGUUUAGGAGAUAAAAUGCUGUGAUCACAAAAUCGAACUUUUUAAUAAGCCUUCCUAUUCUUGCUUCAUAGAAGGGAGAGAACGUAGGAGACAGAUUUCUGCACAGCGAAAUGUCGUCCCAGCGAAUGUUUAUCGAGCGCCUGCGUCGCGAGCUCUUUGGAAUCGGCCAGUCCGGUCCCAAUCCUCUCGCUCUCAUGCUCCAGGAGACGAUCAGGCUCCUCUCGGCCGAGCUCUACCAGAAGGACAUCCAUUUCCUGUCCGAACUCCUCCAGGUACUUUGCUCGAACUUGGUUCUGUCCCUGACAAACAUGAGCGUCUUAGAACGCUGAGGACAACACUUACCAUUCGUCCGUGGAGCCGAGCAUCGAAAUCUAUCUCACAAAGACCGACGUAACUGGCACUGGAGCAGCUGCCACGCUGCUGCUCUUGAACAACGAAGUUGGUUUCUCGGAAAAGAAUAUAGAGUCCUUGUGCGCCGCUGGUCAGUCCACAAAGAAAGGAAAGAAGUCUCAAGGAUACAUUGGCGAGAAAGGUGAGAUAAUUCUUUCUUACCUCUCCUCUCUAGCCGUGGUAACGUCUCUUGCUCGUACAGGAAUUGGGUUUAAGAGCGUUUUUCUCGUCACCAAGCAGCCGUAUAUAAUCAACAAUGGCUUUCGUAUUCGUUUCAACGAAGAGCCCCACAACGAGGCCAAGCUCGGGUAUAUUGUCCCGGAAUGGGUCGACUGUCCUACAGACGCUGUGCUGCAGAAGGUCUGUAGCAAGGUGGUCUUCCUGCAACGGUGAUCAUCCUUCCCUUACGUCAGGAAAAGAUUUCGGAGGUGGCAAAGCAGCUUACUCAAAUCCCAGCGGAGACGCUCCUCUUCCUAUCGAAGAUACGCAUGCUCUCCAUCUACGAUCAGCAGUCGCGGCCUCCCACGGAACUGGUUCUCUCCAGAUCUGUGGAGAUGACAACGUCAAAGAAUGGAAGCGUGGAAACGAGCACAACUUUUCUCACAGCUAGUAACGGACGGAAUGGCACUCAGCACAGCAACUACUACAUGUUUAAGCAGACUUUGAAAGUACCUGAGGAGGCCAAGGUUGAAAAGCGAAAAGAUGUCGAUAGCUGGAUGAUCACUCUAGCCUUUCCGGUGGAUGAUCGUAUCUCGAGCAGCUGCAGCAUUGGCGAUAUCUUCUCGUUCCUGCCUUCCGAUAUCCACUCGGGCCUGCCGUUUCUUAUCAACUCGGACUUUUUGCUCGUUUCCUCCCGUGCGACGCUCCUCUUUGACAGCUCCUGGAACCAGGGGAUCUUUCGCUGUGUUCCCGAGGUUUUCUACAACGCCUUCGAGCUUCUCCUCAACACCACGGCGUUUGGACUGCAGAGUAUACUGUCAGUAGCACGCAUGGCAAUGUACAAGUACGUACCUGUGAAUGUUUGCCGCAACUCGUACCUCGAGAGAGUCCGCAACGAUAUCUUGUCCAAGCUGAAGGACAACAACGUCAUUCUUUGCGCCUCGGACGUCGGCCGUGCACCACCGAGCGGGCAGCUUUGCAAGCCUGCUCUUGCGAGAAAAAUCGCCCCCAGCUUCCGAGAGCUCCUCAAAGCCGCACCGAAGUGUCCCAGGUUCUUGCGAGGAAGUCCCUCGUACAUAGUGGACAGCACGCUGCAGGAGAGCUACGUCUCGGUGCUGAGACUCCUGGGAGUCCCAGAUAUGAGCAACGAUGAAUAUCACCAAAGCCUCGACUCUGAAGACUGGAUGAGAUCGCUCCCCGACGAUGCAUAUGUCAAGCUGCUGGUGUUCCUGUCCUCCAAGUCGUCAACUUUGAGAUCCCUCAAGUUUCUCAAGUAUCGAGGCUCCGAUGGUCGACUUCAGUUGGCAAGCAUGGAUGAUCUCGCGCGAAACGAUGGCAGAUCCAUAUACUGGGAUUCUGGUCAUAGAGCUACCGCUUGGCUCGCUGGUUGGACAGAGGUGUUUCAACGUUGGCUAACUUUCAACUUCGUUCCAUCGGCCUGCGCUGCAAAAAUCCGGCAGCACUCGGUGUUAGAGAACUGGUUGGAGAGAACCCCCUUCAGCGUGAGCGAACUGACAGCAUGCUCACUCGCUCGUCAGGUUCUUCGAGCAGUCACUGCGAACUCCUCAGAUGCAAAGCUUGCUGUUCUAGCGAUGCACUUCCUGUUCGACCUGUACAGAAACGACCGCAGCUCGUACACAUCCAUCAGCAACCAAAAGCGUAAUGUACCAAUCGUCGAGAAUGACGGAGCUGUGAGUCCUUAUGGUGCGAGUUAUGUUUCAACGCGUCCAUUGUUGCUACCGGCGGCUUGUGGAGCGAAGUGGCCGCUCUUGCUCCCGUCUGAUGUGUGGAGACGCGGCGUUCGAAAAUUGUCAGAAGAGUAUAUGGAGUCAGCAACGGUCGAUCUCUCCGACCCCGACGUGCGAACCGAGUUUGUGAAUUUUCUGAAGGAGCAGUUCCUGGCUACGGACAUCCCCGCCUUUGAUCCGGUGAACGAGGCCCUUCCUCCGCAUUAUGUUGGUAACGUCGCAGCGAGCUCGUUGUUACUGAAGUGGAUUAAAUCCAGGCACUGCAAUGCACCCGCUUUCGCUUCCAGUAUUAAGAAUACCAAGUGGUUGAAGACGAGACACGGAUACUGCUGCCCAACCGUUGCAUUCCUGCCGGUGCAAGAGCUGCUUAAAGUCUUGAAAGUCGAGGACGUUCCGUUCNNNNNNNNNNNNNNNNNNNNNNNNNNNNNNNNNNNNNNNNNNNNNNNNNNNNNNNNNNNNNNNNNNNNNNNNNNNNNNNNNNNNNNNNNNNNNNNNNNNNNNNNNNNNNNNNNNNNNNNNNNNNNNNNNNNNNNNNNNNNNNNNNNNNNNNNNNNNNNNNNNNNNNNNNNNNNNNNNNNNNNNNNNNNNNNNNNNNNNNNNNNNNNNNNNNNNNNNNNNNNNNNNNNNNNNNNNNNNNNNNNNNNNNNNNNNNNNNNNNNNNNNNNNNNNNNNNNNNNNNNNNNNNNNNNNNNNNNNNNNNNNNNNNNNNNNNNNNNNNNNNNNNNNNNNNNNNNNNNNNNNNNNNNNNNNNNNNNNNNNNNNNNNNNNNNNNNNNNNNNNNNNNNNNNNNNNNNNNNNNNNNNNNNNNNNNNNNNNNNNNNNNNNNNNNNNNNNNNNNNNNNNNUCGAGGUACAAAAGGCUUACACAGUGUGGCGUGAGCUGGUGGAGGCGAAACUAGUCUCGUCACGACCAACUUCGACGCUGUAUCUGAAAGCUUUCCGCGCGAGCAGCUGCGUUCCUUCAAUACCAGCCUGCGAAAAGAACGCAGCCACCGUCAAGCUUCUUCCGCCUGCAAAGACGGUCAUGGUUGAUCAGCUAGAGCUGGAACGUCUCUUUGGAAACACUAAUCCUCGUCCGUGGGUGGCGUGGUAUCCAGCCAGCCAGGAGAUCAACACGCAGGAGCUAUAUAAAGUCUACUCCUGGCUGGGGGUCAAGACAAUCUCCGAAUGUGCUGAAUCGGAGACGAACACGAGCUGCAUGAGCCUCUCACUCGGAAGGAAACUGGUUUGGGACAAACACUCUCCGUCAAGGAGCGACAAACCAUAGUGCAGGAACUGCUGCGUCUAAAGGAGGUGGAACUCGAAACGAGCCUGAAAGUUCACUGGACUCUUCGCGUUGGAGACACUACACGUCACGCGGUCUCGGAGAGGAUGCUCUACUGGAACAGGGAGAGGCAGGAACUAGCCUAUGUCGACGAGGGGCAAAGGAAGAAGAGGAACACAGAGUUUGGGACCGAGUUCGCGAGGAUCAUAGCGGAGGGUCUGCUUUUCCACCACCGGUACUUGAUUCCAGGCAUGGAGAGGCAUCUGAGCAUGCUGGCAUUCUCUAAGUUCGACGUCAUGGAGGUGGACAACAUGCUCAUCAAGCACAACAUGCGGCUCUAUAGCGAGGACGAGACGUUUCUAAAGACCAGGGUGAUUGUGGAUCCAUCUAAAGCUGACGCUGAGAAGAACUUACAUGGCGGUGAAGCAGUCGCAGAGAUGGAACCGUUUGUGCUACCGGAUGUUCCUGAAACGGAGGAAGAUCAGUUGGAGAGAGAUUCAAGCAUUUCCAAACCUCCAGCAGACUCGAGACCGACCACCAUUGUCGUCGCUUCAAGUUCUUACUCUCCAGCUUUUGUCGCUGCUACUCCGAGACCACCACCUCUGGACAAUCGGAAAUACCUCCUGGAGCAAGCUUUCCAAGUCUUAUCAUCGCUGGACGAGAUCAAAGACGAGGCGUGGACGAUGGAGCUGCCAGACGAGGUUUUUUAACUGAGAGAUGAUCAGCGUGUGGCGAGAGACGUACCUUCCAACAGUUCGGCGCCUUUUGGACUAUCCACCCGAGGAAGGUUACCUCAAGCCCGGGAUGAGAACUGGCAUCUCUCUGGACAAGAUGCUCAUAGCGGCAUUUCUCGACUUUCCGGGAGUGAAAGGAUCGAGCCACCAUCACUUGAGCGUCGUUGGAGCAGCGUGCCUCAACCUGUGCCUGGCGAUGGAGCUCGUCAAGCUAGAUGACAAUCACCACGCCGGAGUAAACGGCGGUUACAAGCUGACGAACACCUCCCUGCUCGCGGCGUGCUUCCAUGCCUGUGGGCUGGAUGAAUCUGUGCUGCGCAGCUCGAAUUCGGCAGCCGUGAGCGACCUCGUGGCGGCGAGCGUCGCGAGAGCCCUACUGGCUGUGGGGUUUUGCGCCUACGACGAUGGAUUGGGAGAAGUGAGGCGGAUCUACCAGGAGGUGUUCCUCGCCGCCCUCGGCGAUGAUCUCGGCUGAAAUUUUCAUGCGAAAUAUGCUAGGCGAGAGCCCUAAAAACUCUCCCGCCCAAGUUUUCAAACACUUUCAAGAAUAUAGCCAGCAUAUUCGUUACUUUGAGCUAGACAGUCCCUGGAUGAAAGAUAUAAGACUGAUAAGAAUUUUGCCUGGAAAAUGACAAGAGAGGCUCACCUGGAAACUCAGCAGCAGCAUCUUCCAAACCAUCUCAGUUGCUCAAAGAUAGCCAAAUUCAAUGUCGCAGACAUUGCAGUUGUACAGUUGCGAAUGUAAUCGAUGUCUCUUGGAGGCGUUCAUUUUUGUGAAGAAGGUGAUAGGCAAAGAACAAAGGCAAAGGCCUGAGGGGCUGGCACUUCCAAGAUGCUAGCCCAGUCAUGGAAUAAAGUGAUUCUUGUGUGAAAGAGAGUGGCUCAGAAUGCCUGUGCCGUAGCUGAAUGGCCCUGCGACUUUGUUGCUACCACCCAGGAUCUUGUUCCAGGUGUUGUCGAAAGUUAUAGCUGGAAGAAGCACAGAUUAUUGCUGAGAUAGUCUUUAAAAUUAGAGUUUAAUGUUAGAUUUUCUUGUACUUUCGGAAAAACUAAAUUGAUAAUUUCUACUCCGCCUUUGCAGCAACCAGCUUCACAAUAAUUUUUUGAUGACCCUAAUGGCUUUAUUUUCAGAAUAAAAAACUAAAGCAAUAAAUGGUAGCAAUUUUUAUGAUUUCUAAAAAUAAAUGUUUACUCCAUUAUUUAUACUAUGUUCUAGCAUUUUUUGUUUAUAGAGAUUAUAUUAUUAUAAUUAUUAUAUGUAUGCAUGUAUUUAUCUUUAGAAUAAAAGAACUAAAGCAAUAUAGAGAUUAUAGAGCUGUGACAUUUAAAUAAAAUUUGAAUAAAUUUGACAAUUAUUUAAUCCAGGUAUAUUUCUGGUUCACCAAUAUAAUGCAAUCAAUGACAGUCCAUUAUUAGCUAUACAAGUAAGGUUUAUACCAAAAUUAAAGAAAUUAAAAUAAAAUAAAAGAAUAAAUAAACAGAGAUUAUCUUUUAGAAAUGCGUAAAUAGUUUAGCUCCUUCUUAUGUGAACAUGAUUCAUAAUUUGCACUUCAUUAUUUCACUUAAAGCUAUGAAUUUCUUAAGCUUUUCUUAAUAUAAUAUAGGUGUUUAGACAUAUUCAAAAGCAUUUGUUCUAGAUUUUUUCUAAUUUUUCCAUAACCACCUUUAUGGAAAAAAAGAGUUAAGUUGGUAUGGGAGUGGCUCAUUGACUUUCUUCUCAGCCUCAAAGUCACUACAGUUAUAUGGCAUCCACAACAUUUUUGUGAUAGAUCCUUGAUGGAAUUUAUAACUUCUGUAUGGGCAACCAUUGUAAAAAUCAACCAAAUUGCAUAUUUUUACUUUGUGUCCAGCAUUGAUGAUCGUCUCUGUUUCAAAUUGCUUUACUUUUGUUUCGCAUUGUUUCUCUUGAAUGCAUAUUUGUUUGCUUUUCUGCUUGCCUGCACUUCAUUCCAGUUUGAUCCAGUGCACUUGCCCUAGGCCACAAACGAAUGGCGUUGCUCAGGCCUUUUGGCAUGGUGGGCUAGCGGAUUUCAGAUUGGAAUGGAGUAAUUUUUCAUUCUUUUCGGCUGAUUUUCUUUAUCAUUUUUGUAUUCUUGUCAUUUCGCUUCAAACUCAGGUGAGACUUCUUUUUUAUCAUCGUGAGAAACUAGCUUUUCGAAAAUGAUACGUCCAAAAAUUUUCAUAUUCGAUACUUAGUUAGAAAUCUUGUUAGCAGAGUAAUCAAUCUUAGCCAGUAUUUCUUAUCAUUUAUACCAGCCUGCCAUUAAAAAUCUCAAGAGGAAACAAAAUCCAGAACACAGUCCCUGAAUGAAACAUAUAAAAGACUAAUUGCCUUGGAUCAAAUGAGAAAUUCACCUGGAAAAUCAGCAGCCGGAUACACAGUUGCUGCUCAGUGCAUCUUCCAAACCAUCUCAAGAACAAGUUAACCAGAUUCAUAUCCUUACUGCCGGUUAAAAGCCCCGUUUUCGGCUCAAAGCUACAUCACAAAAGGUUUACAAGUUAGCGAAAGACAAAGCUGUCUUUACCUUGGUAAUCGAUGUCUCGGACAUGGCACCCAUUUGAAGAGCUGCGAGGCAAGUUACUUAGCACAAAAACCGAAAGAUUAUAUGGCUAACUUACCUGUGGAAUGGAGUAAACAAAGUUAAUAAUCUGUGCUAAGAAGAAAAGCAAAAGAGUCUCGCUAAAAUGGCCGAGGAUGCCCGCUACAGCCAUUGUCAUCCCGGCAAAAUACGUGUAAGUGUCUCCAACAAAGACCGAUGAUGGAUACCUGUGGAAGAGAGAACUGCAGUCUUAAGACUUAAAGAGAUAUCAAAAUGUUUACCAGUUAUAACAAAGCAGCCCAAGCGACGCUCCAACAAGCAGUUGUGUGAGAUAAAUUGAGAAGGCGUGUGCUUGCUGGUAAUCAGCGUCUGAGCUACUCACGAUUUGCAUCAUGUUGUGAAUCAAAAUCUGUAAAACAUCAUGUUCUGGUCACAGAAAAAGAACAAAGAAAAGAAAGAACAAUGCGCAUACCGCAGAAGAUAUCACAAGAGUUUGCCCAACGUCCAGUCCAUUCACGCCGGCGAGAAUGUUGACAGCGUUGGUGCAAAACACGGCUAACAGGCCCAUGUAAACUUUGUAUAGCACGCCUAACAAGUGUAAAAGCUGUUCAAGAACAAAUCGAACCAAAAGAAAAGAAGAAAAAUCUUACCCAAGUCGAGCACCUCCAUUUCGAGGUAGGCUCGAAGAGGUUUCGGAAUAACAAUUGUCGUGUGCCCUGCGUAUGCCAUCAGUAAGGGAAGAGCAGCGAAAGAAGGAAGCAAAAGUUUCCUGAGAGCAAAAGAAACACUCGAAUUUGUUUCGCGAGGAGAUCAUGAAACUUACACGCGCCAUGGGACGUCGAGGACGUCGUCCACAAAGCCGAGAAGAAUCAUAAAUAGUAUAGAUGUGGGAGCCGCAUUGUAAAAUCGAGGAAAAUCCAGCUGACGCUUCUAGGAUGCGGGGGCGUCGGGCGCCAGCUCCUCCGCCACAUUGUCUCCACUCGUAAACUACACCAGAUUUCUCUCUUUGAAUCAAAUGCCCAGGGCUUGCGAGUCGCUGUGAUGGCUGUAGUGGAUUCCAAAUCCAUCUUUUUGGGUGAGAAAAACGAAGAACUGGACGACGCUGCUCUUCUGGAAAUUUGUCUUGCGAAGGAAAAGAACAAUCAAAUGCCCGGUACAUGUCUGUUUUUAUUUGCCUUUUCUUUAAACGAUGAAAGCUCAGCUGGAUUGAAUGCGCGAGCCGUUCGCGAAGAAGAUUUUGAUGCAACUCUAGCAGCUGCGAUAAGAACCAUCACAGAAGAAACUGGUAAAACUUUCCUUUGAGCUUUUUUGAUGGAUGAUCAUACAACUUUUUUUCUUGUUUAUCCUAUGGUUGUAGCUGACUGUACCGCGAGUAUAAAAAUUGGACAAGCACUUGCAGAGAUGGCGGACUUGGAUUGCUGCAUUGUUCUUGCGAACAAGAAGCCUCUCACCAGCUCGUUUGUAAGAUCGUUCUUUUUUUGUUUCUUCUUUCUUCCUUGACCCAUGGCCGCAGAAAGUUUACGAUAGGAUUGCGGCACUGAAUCGACGUUAUCGCUGUGAAUCAACAGUUGAGCAAAAACUAUUUGUACGUACAUUUUACAAACAUUUCUCAAGCAGGUCGGUGCUGCUAUGCCAGUCAUAGCAACUUUGAACCGUCUGCUAAAUUCCGGAGAUUCGAUCAAGAAAAUUGUUGGUGCUCUCAGUGGUUUGUCCUUUCAUUCUCAUAAAAAAUUUGCCACUUCUAACGUCCUUCUAACGUUCUAACCUUUGUCAGGCACUCUUGGCUUUGUAAUGAGUCGGUUGGAGUAUGGUGAAUCGUUUAGUGAUAUUGUGAGACAAGCGAAAGAGCUUGGUUACACCGAGCCAGGUAGCUAUCUUUCUUCAUGUAGUUUAUUCUUACGCUUUCAGACCCUCGUGACGAUCUUGGCGGUAUGGACGUAGCAAGGAAGGUGAAACCACUUGCUACUAUCCCGUGAAUGCAACAUGACUUCUUUCAUUUUUUAUAUAAUGGCUCGACUAAUGGGAUGGAGAAUAAACUUAGAGGAUGUGGAGGUACUCACUCUCUUUGGUUGGAUUCCUCUUAGUGACGUGCUGCUUAAAGGUUGAGUGCUUACAUCCGCCAAGUCUGGCUCCCAAACUGAUGAGCACCACGCAAUUUCUAAACGAAGGACUAGCCGAACUCGACUUGCCAAUGAGAAACCGUGUGAAAGAAGCAGCUGCUAGGGGUUGUGUUCUACGAUAUGUAAAACUUUCAGUAAGUCAAUCCGCCUGAGCUUACCAAAAACCUGUCCUUUGCUUACAGUUGCAAAGUGGGAAUUGUAGAGCAGCCUCAGCAGUCCGCUCUCGGUCAGCUGCAUGGAAGCGAUAAUCUGGUAAUUGUAUAGAGCUUGUGCGUUUCCUGAAACUUUGUUCUUGCAGGUCGAGAUUUUCACGCGCUGUUAUUCGACUUCGCCUCUUGUUAUUAAGGGAGCCGGGGCAGGCAAUGAUACUACAGCCGCUGGUGUGUUAGCGGACGUUUUGGACCUCCAAGACUAUUUUGGCUAGGUAUCGGACUCCAGAACACGCACUAACACCGAACAUCGUGGGAUGCAGCCGACAUUGUACCAUGGACAGGGAUUGGAAUAAAACAGACGUAAAGACAGAAUCACAUCUGCCGCCCAUAUUUACUUUGGGAGGGACUUUAGGCUCUAAUGGAAUACUGAGUUGGCCUCAAAUAAAGAAUUCAGCGAAUAAAGCCUCAAGCGUGAUCGCAAGUCACACCAUCUAUAUAAAAAAUGCCAGUGAACCGUAAUGAAAGCGGGCGGGAGGCGGUUUAGGAGAUAAAACACUUUUUAAUAAGCCUUCCUAUGCUUGCUUCAUAUAAGGGAGAGAACGUAGGAGACACAUUUCUGCACAGCGAAAUGUCGUCCCAGCGAAUGUUUAUCGAGCGCCUGCGUCGCGAGCGCUUUGGAAUCGGCCAGUCCGGUCCCAAUCCUCUCGCUCCCAUGCUCCAGGAGACGAUCAGGCUCCUCUCGGCCGAGCUCUACCAGAAGGACAUCCAUUUCCUGUCCGAACUCCUCCAGGUACUUUGCUCGAACUUGGUUCUGUCCCUGACAAACAUGAGCGUCUUAGAACGCUGAGGACAACACUUACCAUUCGUCCGUGGAGCCGAGCAUCGAAAUCUAUCUCACAAAGACCGACGUCACUGGCACUGGAGCAGCUGCCACGCUGCUGCUCUUGAACAACGAAGUUGGUUUCUCGGAAAAGAAUAUAGAGUCCUUGUGCGGCUCUGGUCAGUCCACAAAGAAAGGAAAGAAGUCUCAAGGAUACAUUGGCGAGAAAGGUGAGAUAAUUCUUUCUUACCUCUCUCUAGCCGUGGUAACGUCUCUUGCUCUACAGGAAUUGGGUUUAAGAGCGUUUUUCUCGUCACCAAGCAGCCAUAUAUAAUCAGCAAUGGCUUUCGUAUUCGUUUCGACGAAGAGCCCCACAACGAGGCCAAGCUCGGGUAUAUUGUCCCGGAAUGGGUCGACCGUCCUACAGACGCUGUGCUGCAGAAGGUCUGUAGCAAGGCCGAGCUUCCUGCAACGGUGAUCAUCCUUCCCUUGCGUCAGGAAAAGAUUUCGGAGGUGGCAAAGCAGCUUACUCAAAUCCCAGCGGAGACGCUCCUCUUCCUAUCGAAGAUACGCAUGCUCUCCAUCUACGAUCAGCAGUCGCGGCCUCCCACGGAACUGGUUCUCUCCAGAUCUGUGGAGAUGACAACGUCAAAGAAUGAAAGCGUGGAAACGAGCACAACUUUUCUCACAGCUAGUAACGGACGGAAUGGCACUCAGCACAGCAACUACUACAUGUUUAAGCAGACUUUGAAAGUACCUGAGGAGGCCAAGGUUGAAAACCGAAAAGAUGUCGAUAGCUGGACGAUCACUCUAGCCUUUCCGGUGGAUGAUCGUAUCUCGAGCAGCUGCAGCAUUGGCGAUAUCUUCUCGUUCCUGCCUUCCGAUAUCCACUCGGGCCUGCCGUUUCUUAUCAACUCGGACUUUUUGCUCGUUUCCUCCCGUGAGACGCUCCUCUUUGACAGCCCCUGGAACCAGGGGAUCUUUCGCUGUGUUCCCGAGGUUUUCUACAACGCCUUCGAGCUUCUCCUCAACACCACGGCGUUUGGACUGCAGAGUAUACCGUCAGUAGCACGCAUGGCAAUGUACAAGUACGUACCUGUGAAUGCUUGCCGCAACUCGUACCUCGAGAGAGUCCGCAACGAUAUCUUGUCCAAGCUGAAGGACAACAACGUCAUUCUUUGCGCCUCGGACGUCGGCCGUGCACCACCGAGCGGGCAGCUUUGCAAGCCUGCUCUUGCGAGAAAAAUCGUCCCCAGCUUCCGAGAGCUCCUCAAAGCCGCACCGAAGUGUCCCAGGUUCUUGCGAGGAAGUCCCUCGUACAUAGUGGACAGCACGCUGCAGGAGAACUACGUCUCGGUGCUGAGACUCCUGGGAGUCCCAGAUAUGAGCAACGAUGAAUAUCACCAAAGCCUCGACUCUGAAGACUGGAUGAAAUCGCUCCCUGACGAUGCAUAUGUCAAGCUGCUGGUGUUCCUGUCCUCCAAGUCGUCAACUUUGAGAUCCCUCAAGUUUCUCAAGUAUCGAGGCUCCGAUGGUCGACUCCAGUUGGCAAGCAUGGAUGAUCUCGCGCGAAACGAUGGCAGAUCCAUAUACUGGGAUUCUGGUCAUAGAGCUACCGCUUGGCUCGCUGGUUGGACAGAGGUGUUUCAACGUUGGCUAACUUUCAACUUCGUUCCAUCGGCCUGCGCUGCAAAAAUCCGGCAGCACUCGGUGUUAGAGAACUGGUUGGAGAGAACCCCCUUCAGCGUGAGCGAACUGACAGCAUGCUCACUCGCUCGUCAGGUUCUCGGAGCAGUCACUGCGAACUCCUCAGAUGCAAAGCUUGCUGUUCUAGCGAUGCACUUCCUGUUCGACCUGUACAGAAACGACCGCAGCUCGUACACAUCCAUCAGCAACCAAAAGCAUAAUGUACCAAUCGUCGAGAAUGACGGAGCCGUGAGUCCCUAUGUUGCGAGUUAUGUUUCAACGCGUCCAUUGUUGCUACCGGCGGCUUGUGGAGCGAAGUGGCCGCUCUUGCUCCCGUCUGACGUGUGGAGACGCGGCGUUCAAAAAUUGUCAGAAGAGUAUAUGGAGUCAGCAACGGUCGAUCUCUCCGACUCCGACGUGCGAACCGAGUUUGUGAAUUUUCUGAAGGAGCAGUUCCUGGCUACGGACAUCCCCGCCUUUGAUCCGGUGGACGAGGCCCUUCCUCCGCAUUAUGUUGGUAACGUCGCAGCGAGCUCGUUGUUACUGAAGUGGAUUAAAUCCAGGCACUGCAAUGCACCCGCUUUCACUUCCAGUAUUAAGACUACCAAGUGGUUGAAGACGAGCCACGGAUACUGCUGCCCAACCGUUGCAUUCCUGCCGGUGCCUGAGCUGCUUAAGGUCUUGAAAGUCGAGGAUGUUCCGUUCGUGGACAAGGACUGGAUGCCAUUGGAGGAGUAUAAGAACGAGUUCCGAAGCCUGGGAGUGGCUUGCGAGCCCGGCAUGGGAUAUGCAACUGUCCUCCGCUGUCUCGACAAUAUGCAGAAGCUUCCUGCUCCGCAAGUCGACACGGCUAAAGUGGUCAGAUUUUAUCAGUACCUCUCCCGCUGCGCUGAACAAGAAGUAUGGAGGGACGUUGACACGAUCUGGGUGCCGCAGAGCGAAGGCCGUGCAGCAACCUGGAAGAAAAAGGAAGAAUGCGUCAUUCACGACGUUGAGGGCUUGUUUGAAGAACUCGGUGUUGUACCCCUGGAUAGCUGCUACGAGCGGGUCAUGCAAGACAUCCUUCAGAAGAGGUUUGAUGUUUGUAAGAAGCCUUCGAUCAUCAAGUUCUGCGAGCUCUGGCACAGGUGGUCGUCUAAAGGAAAAGAUGUCGAGGUACAAAAGGCUUACACAGUGUGGCGUGAGCUGGUGGAGGCGAAGCUAGUCUCGUCACGACCAACUUCGACGCCGUAUCUGAAAGUUUUCCGCGCGAGCAGCUGCGUUCCUUCAAUACCAGCCUGCGAAAAGAACGCAGCCACCGUCAAGCUUCUUCCACCUGCAAAGACGGUCAUGGUUGAUCAGCUAGAGCUGGAACAUCUCUUUGGAAACACUAAUCCUCGUCCGUGGGUGGCGUGGUAUCCAACCAGCCAGGAGAUCAAAACGCAGGAGCUAUAUUAAGUCUACUCCUGGCUGGGGGUCAAGACAAUCUCUGAAUGUGCUGAAUCGGAGACGGACACGAGCUGCAUGAGCCUCUCACUCGGAAGGAAACUGGUUUGGGACGAAGGAUACAUCCACCUGGGACUGCUUAGAGCAAUACUCGGGUAUCUGGCUCUAUCACUCUCCGUCAAGGAGCGACAAACCAUAUUGCAGGAACUGCUGCGUCUAAAGGAGGUGGAACUCGAAACGGGCCUGAAAGUUCACUGGACUCUUCGCGUUGGAGACACUACGCGCCACGCGGUCUCGGAGAGGAUGCUCUACUGGAACAGAGAGAGGCAGGAACUAGCCUAUGUCGACGAGGAGCAAAGGAAGAAGAGGAACACAGAGUUUGGGACCGAGUUCGCGAGGACCAUAGCGGAGGGUCUGCUUUUCCACCACCGGGACUUGAUUCCAGGCAUGGAGAGGCAUCUGAGCAUGCUGGCAUUCUCUAAGUUCGACGUCAUGGAGGUGGACAACAUGCUCAUCAAGCACAACAUGCGGCUCUAUAGCGAGGACGAGACGUUUCUAAAGACCGGGGUGAUUGUGGAUCCAUCUAAAGCUGACGCUGAGAAGAACUUACAUGGUGGUGAAGCAGUCGCAGAGAUGGAACCGUUUGUGCUACCGGAUGUUCCUGAAACGGAGGAAGAUCAGCUGGAGAGAGAUUCAAGAAUUUCCGAACGUCCAGCAGACUCGAGAUCCACCACCAUUGUCGUCGCUUCAAGUUCUUACUCGCCAGCUUUUGCCGCUGCUACUCCGAGACCACCACCUCUGGACAAUCGGAAAUACCUCCUGGAGCAAGCUUUCCAAGUCUUGUCAUCGCUGGACGAGAUCAAAGACGAGACGUGGACGAUGGAGCUGCCAGACGAGGUUUUCAACUCAGAGAAGAUCAGCGCGUGGCGAGAGACGUACCUUCCAACAGUUCGUCGCCUUUUGGACUAUCCCCCUGAGGAAGGCUACCUCAAGCCCGGGAUGAGGACUGGCAUCUCUCUGGACAAGAUGCUUACAGCGGCAUUUCUCGACGCUGGAAACUUUCCGGGAGUGAAAGGAUCAAGCCACCAUCACUUGAGCUUCGUUGGAGCAGCGUGCCUCAACCUGUGCCUGGCGAUGGAGCUCGUCAAGCUAGAUGACAAUCACCACGGCGGGGUAAACGGCGCUUACAAGCUGACGAACACCUCCCUGCUCGCGGCGUGCUUCCAUGCCUGUGGGCUGGAUGAAUCUGUGCUGCGCAGCUCGAAUUCAGCAGCCAUGAGCGACCUCGUGGCGGCGAGCGUCGCGAGAGCCCUACUGGCUGUGGGGUUUUGCGCCUACGACGAUGGAUUGGGAGAAGUGAGGCGGAUCUACCAGGAGGUGUUCCUCGCCGCCCUCGGCGAUGCUCUCGGCUGAAAUUUUCAUGGUAGGCCAAAACGUGAUACAAGAAAAAACUCUCCCGCCCAAGUUUUCAAAUACUUUCUAAGAAUAUAGCUAGCAUAUUCGUUACUUCCGGCGCAAAAAGACAAAGAUCUAGUUGCCCUAGACUAUGCUAUGCCACCUUUUAAAGUUCCUCACCACCCAAUUACCCCCGAGCUACCUCAAAAGCUCCUCUGCGCCGCUGCUCCACUGUGAGCCCUAGGGUAGGUUAAGUCCCAUAAGACUGAUAAGAAUUUUGCCUGGAUCAAAUGACGAGAGAGGCUCACCUGGAAACUCAGCAGCCUAAUACACAGUUCCAGCAUCUUCCAAACCAUCUCAGUUUCUCAAAGAUAGCCAAAUUCAAUGUCGCAGACAUUGCAGUUGUACAGCUGCGAAUGUAAUCGAUGUCACUUAGAGGCAUUCAUUUUUGUGAAGAAGGUGAUAGGCAAAGAACAAAGGCAAAGGCCUGAGGAGCUGGCAUUUCCAAGAUGCUAGCCCAGUCAUGGAAUAAAGUGAUUCUUGUGUGAAAGAGAGGCUCAGAAUGCGUACGCGAGAAACGGCCUGGUCGACGAGGCCAGCGAGAUAGUCCAGAGCGUCCCAGCCUCGGAUUCCAUUGCCGCAAAUGCGGUUCUAGCAGCAUUCGCUCGCGCAGGGAAUGUGGCUGCAGCGAAGGAGCUGUUCGAUUCCAUGCCCGCCAGGACUUCCGGGAGCUGGAACUCGCUCGCGCAGGGCAGGGCAUCUUGCCGAGUGCGUCAAGGCCGCCAACUUGAUGCCACGCGGGGGACGUGGGUGGACAUGAUCAGGGCGUACGGAGAGCACGGCAUGGUGGCGGAGGCCCGUACAGCCUUCGACAAUUUGCCCCGGGUGACUGUCGACGCAUGCAACACCCUGAUUGUGGCGUAUGCCCGUAACGGGCAUCUGGUUGAGGCAAAGGAGCUGUUCGACGCGAUGCUGGUGAGGAGCACCGUCACCUGGGCGUCCAUCAUGGAGGCGUGCACCAUGAGCAACCUCGCGGGGCAAGCGCUGGAGAUUUUUCACUUGGAGAAUUGCUCGGGGCAGCUGAUGCUGGAUCGGGUGGUCUUCUCGGCGGUUCUUAGCGCGCAUUCUUGGCUCGGGUGCCUAGACGAUGCGGCGGGGAUCAUCCGCGACAUGGCCUCAGACUACGCCAUCCGGCCGAGUGUGGAGCACUACUGCGCGAUCCUGGCGAUGCUGACGAGCCGAUCAGAGCUGGGAGAUGCUGAGGAUCUUGCAGCAAGCAUGCCGUUCGUGGCCUCGGCCUCGGCGUGCUGCUCCUCGACGUGUGUAAGAUCCGUCGGGACAGCGCCCGGGCAAGGCGAGUGGCGGAGGAGAUAGUCAAGCUGAAUCCCAGCGGUCGCGCAGAGCCAUUCAUGGUAGUGGCGGGCCUCUACUUCCGCGAAGAGGCCGUGGAUCUCAUGCUGGAGAAAGGGCCGGUCAAGAUGUUGACCUUUUGACCCUAGUCUUUGACCGAAGGAUAAUGUGACUAUAUUUACUGCUGUCCCAAAGUGGAGGAGUGAACGUUGUAAUUGAUAUAUAUCUCCCUAUGGAUAAAGAAGCUGUGUAUGUUUUUCAAGGGAAUGGAGUUCACAGCUUUUCAAGGAAGUGAACUUGCAUGGUGAAAAUGAUGCAUGUUGUCAUACCAUCAAUCAAGCACAAAAGAACCUUCACAAGAACCCAGGGGAGCAACAAAGCCCCGUAAAACAAUAUGGAGGAUAUCGGCUGGUGAACUGGAGGUGGCAUAUGUGCAGUACUUGAGGGUUAUAUAUGGCUAAUACGAAUACAUAUUCGUGGCACUCGGCAAAACAAAAUACAAAAUUUUGCUUGGUAUAGUUUGAUGCUUGGACCAUUAAAUGAAGUUUAGGUAGUGUUAUAUUCUGUUGGUGAAGAAAUUCAUUGAUGUUAGGCGUGCCCUAGCUCAAUUUUGGCAUACAUAUAUUUGAAUAAAAAUUAUUUUACAAAUAUUAUGGUACUCUUUUAACUUCUGGCCGUGGGUUCGAACCGCAGGGUGCUCAGAUACGGCAUCUGGCCGAGCCAAUUACAUCAUAUUAUAAGAGUUAUGAAGAUCGUGAGGGCCCACGCAGGGCAUUUGACCACUCUUGGGCAAGAUACUUGCAGCAACAGUAUCAAUUGUUGUAAAGGUCACAUUUAAGUUCUUGCUACUCCUUGGAGAGCUUUGCUCCCAAAAUACAAAAGAGAAGAUGAGAGAAGGCUUCUUUUUUUCUCACCCGACGACUCCUCUUCCCUCGUCUAGAUCAUGCCAUGACCGAAGGAUAUGCUGCACCAAUUCUUUGCCCUAUCCCACAUGCCGAGGCGUGGAAUAAGGGCACAAGAGCAUGGAUCCAUACUUACUUGGACGGGGUUUAUUAGUUACCAUGAAGGCUAAUGGCCUAGGUUUGGUCUUCCCAGCUCGAUCAAAGCCGCGAUUUGAGGCAGGCUUGGCCGGCCUACCAUCUUCCCAAAGUGGAGGAGGGGACGUCGUAAUUUGUGGAAGUUGAGGGCGGCCCUCUCCAAAUUCCAAGCCCUAAGAUGGAUGAUUUUUUUCAUCUCUUGUCUUCUCGAAUAAUUGCUCUCCUUAGAAAAAUCAGGAUGUCGAAACCAUCAGCUUUCAAGAACACGGCUGCUUCAUCCAUUGAGUAGCGGUUCCUCGCUUGUCCCACAAGCUGGAGAAAACUUCCUGCCUGCGAUGGCGGCUCUCUUGAAUCCUCUGCGCCUCUGGAUCGUCGGCCGCGCCACCGUUGAGCAGGCUGUGUCCAAUCGGCUCGGGCUGCCUCGUUGGCUGCUGAACAUCCCCGCCACUGGCAUACGCUCCAGAAGGUUUCGAUCCAAAUUCUCGCUGGGAUACCAAAAGAAUUUCUUGUUACCUGUUCUAUGGCUUCUCUCGUUUCAGCCUUGCUCUUGCUGGAGAGCGGUGCUAAUCUCCACAGCCUGUGUGUGUGUGUGAAGAGAGAGUAAAGAUUUCGAAAACACGCCUUACCUUGCGAGCGCCUCCCGUCUCAGCCACAAUGAUGCCAUGGACCAUAUUGAAACGAGAGGUCACUGAUGUCCAGCUAGUCAUUGUAGUCUCUGAGGGACGCGACGCAAAAUUGUCUUCGCGCUUGGUUGUAGCCGCACAAUCAAUUGAAAAAAAUGGCAAUGCUUACAUGCUCGUAUUUAAUUGGAUGCUUCCUGGAUUUUUGGAAGCCGUCUCGUAAACAACCUCCCAGUGCUUCUUGGUUUUUAAGGGCUGCUCGCGGUCAGAGCACCCGAUUUCUUACAAGGGAACUGGAUAGGUUGAAGUGGGUUAGAAUAUUCGUUUGUCCGUCAAAAUUAUCCACCCGUUCAUGAAGCUCAUAAACCUUGCUCUCAGGUAAGAUUCUGUAUCAAGAGCCCUAAAAACUCUCCCGACCAUGUUUUCAAACACUUUCUAAGAAUAUAGCCAGCAUAUUCGUUACUUUGAGCUUGGAUGAAAGAUAUAAGACUGAUAAGAAUUUGCCUGGAUCAAAUGACGAGAGAGGCUCACCUGGAAACUCAGUAGCCUGAUACACAGUUCCAGCAUCUUCCAAAGCAUCUCAGCUGCUCAAAGAUAGCCAAAUUCAAUGUCUCGGACAUCGCAGUUGUACAGCUGCAAAUGUAAUCGAUGUCUCUUAGACGCGUUAAGGAGGUGAUAGGCAAAGAACAAAGGCAAAGGCCUGAGGGGCUGGCGUUUCCAAGAUGCUAGCCCAGUCAUGGAAUAAAGUGAUUCUUGCAGAAUGCGUACGCGAGAAACGGCCUGGUCGACGAGGCCAGCGAGAUGCUCCAGAGCGUCCCAGCCUUGGAUUCCAUUGCCGCAAAUGCGGAUCUAGCAGCAUUUGCUCGCGCAGGGAAUGUGGCAGCAGUGAAGGAGCUGUUCGAUUCCAUGCCCACCAGGACUUCCGGGAGCUGGAACUCGCUCGUGCAGGGCAGGGCAUCUGGACGCGGGGGACGUGGGUGGCCAUGAUCAGGGCGUACGGAGACCACGGCAUGGUGACAGAGUCCCGUACAUGUAUAUGAAGUUGCAAUCUAUAUGAUUCUAUAUAAAAACAUAUUGAAAACAUGUAUAUGAAGUUGCAAUCUAGCACUAAGUGGAUCCAAUGGAUUGUGGCAAGCUUAUAAACAAUAUAUUGUAAAAUAGAAAACAAAAACAUAACAUGGAAUAGAAAAUGAAAGUGCAUAAUACUUUAAUCAGCCUUGAAUGCAAUAACUUUUGGGGAGUUUUGAUUGGCACUAGUGGAGAAUAAGAAGUGGCUUUUUUGUGUCUUUAAAAGUUUGAUUGCCCUAAGCAUCCGAGGAGAAGUGAACAUCUUUAGAAAUUGGCCAAGAGUGAAACUAUAUGUUUAAUCAAUAUAAGUGUCCUUCAUACAAAUGUUUUAGGGGUGGCCACUAUCUAAAUAAAAUUUGCCAUGGACCUAUAAUGUUUGGAAAAACUUUAUUCAUUCUUACAAUAGUGGCACUAAUCAAUAUCAUGUGUUUGUUUCUCAAUCUUAAACAUUUGCAAACAUGGCAAUUGCAACAAAUAGGGAUUGCUCAAAGGUUUUUAGGGAUGAAAUAUCAUUGCACCUAUUGACAAAAUAUGCAUUAUGAACCACUAAAAAAGAUUAUGAAAUAUACCCUAAAGAAGUUUUUUUCAUAUAUGAACUACUUCUAUAUAUAGUCCUAAGGCAUAUCAUUAGUAAUUUUUAAGACAAUAAUGGAAGGUGCAAUCUUGAAUAUAUUUUUAUCUUUAGUUCCUUGGAAAUUGUAGAAAAUAUAAUUUGGCAUCUAUCUAGUAAACCAUGACGAUUUGAGCUCAUGAUAGACAUAGCCCAUAUCACCCAUCACAUGCAUCUGCUUUUAAAGUUCACAAGAAAAAUCCAGUCAAAAUAUUACAAAUAUUUUGUAAUUUGUAAUUAUAAAUAAUUUAUAGAUGUUUUCAGCUUCAAGAUCAUCAAUGAUGAACAUGAUGUUUAUAGUGUUUGUGGGGUGAGAGAAGAAGGUGUUGUGAUACAUGUCACAUAUAAUAUGUUGACCAGUAUUGAUGCUCAACCUUUUGCAAUGGAAACUCACUAUGUCACUUGGAUCUUAUAAUUCCCUUUAAGGAAUUUGAUAGUUUCCUCUAAUAAAACACAUAUUUAUAAUUAUUUCCUCAAUUCUUCUUUCAAAAUAGAAUACAAUAUUUGUUGUUUUGAUACUAUUCCUAUUUAGUUUUCAAUGUAACAAAAUUAUAUCAAUAAUCAAACAGUGUUUGCUAACUGGAAUAGCUAGUAUUUGAAUAAAUUUGACAAUUAUUUAAUCCAGGUAUAUUCCUGAUUCAUUGAUAUUGAUAGUACAUUAUUAGCAUAGCUAAAUCAAUGAUUAUAGAGCAUAACAAGUAAGCUAUGUAGCAAAAUUAAUAAAAAUAUUACUUCUCACUAAUAUAAACCAUGUUUACCAUUUAUAAAAUUUAAGGUAGAGUUUUAGCUCCUCCUUCAACCAUGAUGGAGAAAUGUGAUAGGAAAAUCAAGACUUUAGCCCCUAUUUUCUAGUUCCUUGUUUGAUGCUUACAAUAUGGUCAUUGGAGAGCACUCUUACACACAUAGCUUUUGGGUAAAGAAUCAAAACAAUUUAGUCAACUAAGCAAUGAUGGGUAAAAAUAUUAUGUGAUUUCUUGAUCAGUAGGAACUAUAUAAUAUUUCUAGUCAUCAGUGCAUGUCUAGAGCUUCUACCAUGAAAGCACUUCUAUCUGUUAGCAUUAUAUAAAGCUUUGCUUCACUAUAAUGGAUAUGGUUACCUUAAACUUCAUUAUCACAAUGUAUAUAAGAGAUUGCCAUACAAAAUAAAUCAUGCUUCACCAUUUAGUGAGCAGCUAAAACAACUUGCAGAAUUCCCCAAGAAGAUCUCCAUGAUACUAGUGUUCCAGCACCUUCCAAACCAAUAUAGUCUAACUCAUGAGCUGAAGAUUAAUGUAUUAAAGAAUCUGUUAUAUACCACUUUUAAGAAAAUUGAUUUAAAGGACAUUCCUUUAUAUUUUAAAAUAUAUUUUAAUUUAUAAAUUCCUAAAUAGUAUAUAUUUAAAAUAAAACUUUUUCACUUUACAAACAAUUAUAUUAUUAUUUUAAAACAGAUUUAGGUUUAUGCUAUUAUAUAUAUCUGUAUUAGGAAAGUCUUAUAGGAAUAUUUAUUAGUCAAACCAAUGCUAUUGUAUUAAAAAUCAUUUUAAAAAAAAAAUACUGUGAGGGCCAAGUGUAUGGCUACGAUGCCGUUUACUAAUAAUGGGAUUUUGGUAGCCGUCGAAUUGGUUUCAAUCCGGACCACUCACUCCUAUAUAUAAGCUAGGGUUUUUGGGCUAAUUAAUAUGCACAUUUCUGUAUUCCCUUUUUAUAUUCCAUGCACUCACAUUGGUGGAGGAGAGGGGCACCUUUGAUUGUCCCUAGGGAGUGCUUUGAUUUGGGAUUUCGAUUUAGAUUUAGCUUUUGCAUUGUCUAGAUCUAGUUUUUUCCAUUUCCUUUCUUUUGUUCUUUCCUUUCAGGAUUUUGGUUUAGAUCUAGCUUUUUGCAUUGUCUAGAUCUACCAUUUCUUUCUAGCUUUUUGUCAUUUUUCUUCUUUUACUCUUUCUUUUUUCGUUCAUUUUCAUGGCUGAUCCGCAAUCUCCUCCUUUGACUCUAGAAUAGUAGUUGGUUCAAUUGCUUGAUGCUAUACGCUUGCAAUUGAACAACCAAACUCAAUUGAUGGUGGCAUUCACGGCACGUGGUCCAACUCCUUUUGCUCUUGGUGCCAAUCCUCGCAUUCAGCCGGAGUUCUUUCGUGGGAAUCCUGGGAAUGAUGUAUACCAUUGGUUCGAUCACUUCACGGUGAUUGCCACAUAUCAUUCUUAAGAUGAUGCUCAACGUUUGCGUGAGUUUCCCACGUGUCUCCAAGGGACGGCAUUGCAAUGGUACAAUGGAUUGAGUGCAGCCACUCGUGGGAAUUGGAGUGUUCUUCCAGACGUCUUCAAACGUGCCUUCGGACAUGCCGACAAUUGUGACGAUGCCUUCCAACAAUUGCAUCGUCUUCGCCAAGGGCCAUUUGAGUUGGUGAUGUAAUUUGGCGUUUGUUUCCGAAGUCUUUUGCUUCGUGUGGAGCCUAAUAUGUCGGAGCGGAUCAAGCUAGGAAUGUUGUGGCUAACACUUCGUCAAGAUUUUGUCGGCCUUGUGCAUGCACUUGCUCUUGCCACCCUUGACGAUGGUCUUCGCUUGGCACAACGUUAUGAGACGUCACCUCUUCCAUUUCUCACUGCACGUCCUUCAGCUCCACUUCUUAUGAGCGAUGGUCCUGUUCCAAUGGAGGUUGAUGCUUCUGCUACUCGAGUCCACGAACAAGGGCGAGGACGUGAUCGUGGCCGUGAUGUUCAUUGCUGGGCGUGUGAUGAAGUUGGUCAUACUUAUCGGCGUUGUCGACGCUUUCCGGAUUGGCGACCUCCAUUUCCUAGAUGGAGACCUUGGUGUUAGCAACAUCCUGUUAGUAUUACUGCGGUGGAAGGUUUGGACACCGAGGUGCAUCUGGGAAAUGAGGAGUUGCACAAGUAACGGAGGGACCUUGCGCGAAUAAGUUAGUGACCCCUCCAUCUUUCUUUCGAGAGUAUCAUCAAGGGGUUCACUUGGCACCGGUUCAUCUAGUGUUUACUUUCCAAGCUCGUUUUUAUAACAAGAGGUCUUCUAUUCUUCUCUCCGUGUUAGUUGAUACAGGUUCGAGUUUCUUCUAUUGCUCGACCUGUUGCCACACGUUGUUGUCUACACUUGCGUCAUGUGGCGGAUCCAGUUUUCAUUCUUUAUAGCAACAGCCGUACACAUGCAUAUGCACGAGAUGAGGCGGACCUGCUUGUGCAUGUGGGCGAUCUCGAGCUUGAGUUACAGUAGUUGCGGGUGGUGCCGAGUCAAGCUUUUGACCUCAUUCGUGUUGAUGCAAGAAAGCCCAAGUGUGCCUGGUCAGCAUCAUCCCAUUGCAUAUAUAAACCAUACAUUACAACUAGCAGAAGUGAACUACUCCAUGACAGAGAAGGAGUGUUUAGCGGCAGUUUGGGGUUUCGAGAAACUUCAUGCAUAUCUACAUAGUUCUUGGACGUUACUUAAAGGUGACCAUGCUACCGUUACUUCAUUAUUGAAGCUGAAGAACCUGGUUGGUCAUACUGCUCGGUGGGCUUUGAAGUUUCAAAUAUAUAAUUUUGAUGUUGUUUAUCGCCCAGGGAGUUCUAUGGUUGAUGUUGAUGCCCUUUCUCGAGCUCCUCUUCCUUCUCCACUCUCUUCUCCUGUUUCUGAUGAGCCUGUUGUUCCAACAUCUAUGGAUUUUCUAGAUGAGGAUUCUGUGCCAUCGGCGGUUGCUGUACUUGCCGUUCAGUGUCCACAAUGCGCAAAGCAAGAUCUACCUUCUCUUGAUGAGGUCCGUGAGGUUUAAAAGAUUGAGCCGUGGAUUCGAAGGCUUCGAGAUGCAUUUGAGAAUCCUACAUCACUUACUGAUGACUUGCCUUUUCGGCAUUUACAUUCUUAAUAUCGUCUUGACGAUGACAUUCUUUAUUUUGUGGGGACGGAUCCUGAUGAUCCUUUACGGCUGGUGGUGCCUUCUAUCUUUAUUCCACGGUUUCUCCAUACCUAUCAUGAUUUUCCUGUUCUAGGUGGGCAUAUGGGACAUCGUCGUGUGAUCAAGAAGUUGCACAGGUCUUUCUAUUGGCCAGAGAUGCGACGUGAUGUUAUUUGGUAUGUGCGUAGCUGCGUUUGGUGCCAAGCUCGUAAUACUCCCCCUUGUGCUAUGGAAGGAUGGUUGGAGUCAAUUGCAAUUUCCCAUCCGUUUGAGUUAGUGGCGUUUGAUCUUAUGGGACCUUUUCCACGGUCGACUGUUGGCAAUGAGUAUGUCAUUAUUGCUUCUAACUACUUGACUCGUUGGGUGGAAGUUGGUGCUCUUGCUAGUGCCUCUGCAACUGCUGUUGGAUACUUCCUCCUCAAUCGAGUGGUGUUCCAGCAUUCUUGUCCAGAACGGAUUCUUUCGGAUAAUGGUCUUGCAUUUAUAGCUGAGGUAUUUUAUGUUUUGACGUCUUGGUUGAGGAUACGCCACACUUUUACAAGUGCUUAUCAUCCACAAUCAGACGGUCUGGUGGAAAGGCUUGUUCGGACAUUCAAAGGGAUGAUUGCGAAAUAUGUGAACUUUCAGCAUUCAGAUUGGGAUGGUUAUUUGCCGUCUUUUUGGUAUGCUUAUGUCACAGGGAUGCAGAGUUUUGUUGGUGCUUCACCAUAUAAGCUUCUAUAUGGUCAUGAUCCAAUAUUACUAACGGAGCUGGGUUUACCUUUGCGAUUACCACGAGAUCCUAAUGCUAGGUCAUGGGAUCAAUAUUUGACGAGCAUUCUUCCACUUGUCUGAGUAAAGUCUAUCGAACACUUAGGCUGCGUACAAGUGGGACAACAACGGCGCUACAACUCCCAUCAUCGUCCACCUGCAGAGUACAAAGUGGAUGAUUUGGUGUUAGUCCAUUUUCCCCAUCUUAUGGUACGUGGUUUAUCUAAGGGGCUCCUUGUGCAGUGGAAAGGACCGUAUCGAGUGUUGCGGCAAGUUGGACCACAAGUUUAUGAGGUUCGGCAUGACAUUUAGCAAGCUGAUCCUCCGGAGAUUAUGCAUGUGCAGCAGUUGAAAUGCUUCAUAUAAAGGGAUCAGGAGCAGUUAAUACCAUCUACAGAUCCGUCGAUGCCUCCUCCUGACAUUCCUCCAGAUCUCGGCCCAUCUACAAGAGAACCUUGACGGCCUUCCAUUAUUCUGAGAGGAGGGGAUGAUGUGAGGGCUAAGUGUACGGCUACGAUGCCGUAUACUAAUAUUAGUGUAGUGGGAUUUUGGUAGCCGUUGGAUUGGUUUCAAUCUGGACCACUCGCUCAUGUGUAUAAGGUAGGGUUUUUGGGCUAAUUGAUAUGCACAUUUUUGUAUUCCCUUUCCAUAUUCCAUGCACUCACAACAUCUAAUAUUAUGUUGCUACAGAGUUGAAAUACUAAAUAUAUAUACUUAGAUAUUUAUCUUAUUUAUUUACAUAUAGCUUCCUUUUCAUGCAUGAGUUUCACUUUUGGCUACAAAAUAUGACCAUCUUUUAAAGAAGAUAAUUAUAAAUUCUAGGUUUGUUUGUAAAUCAAUUUGAAAAAUAGAAUCAAUAAGGUUUGUGAAUUUGACACUUUAAACUUUAUCUCAUUGUCAAAAUUGUUAAUUUUGAUCAUGAUAAAUGACUUUUUUAUCUCACUUUAUAUAAUGAUGAUUUAUCUUAGGUCUAUUUUUUUCAUAGUAAAAAUAGCCUAAAACUCUUUAUCCACAUCACCUAGAAAUUAGGUUAGAUAUAUUUAUAUAAUACAGAACGCAUAUAAUAUCCUUCUAUAAUUAAGGAGGAGUUGCCAAACUUUUUGGCAAUCAAUGGGGAGGUAAUUAUCAAAGGGUUAUUUUGUUAAUGAUGUCUUAGUUAAUAAUUGUGUUAUAGGCAAUGGGAAGUUGCUAAUUGCUUAGACACAUGUAUUCAAUGUGUUGACAGGCAUUGGCACUCAACCUUUUUCACUCCAAGCUCUACUAUCAAGUUUCAUCCUACAAUGGAGACUUGCUAUGCCAUUUGAGAGUGGUGAUUCACACUGCUCCUUCUUCUGUAGGGUUUUAGCACUGGAAUGGGAGGAAUGGCACUCACUCACACGUGAUUUCUCUACAUGGAAUGCCAAAUAUUAAACACCAAGUUUGCAGCCCUUUGAUGUUCUUAGUGCCAUGAUUCUUAGCUCCCCAAGCUCUUUAUUGCCACUAGCAUGCUCCCAUGGGAUUCCAGGGCAUUCUCUGUUGGCAUGCAGCAGCAUCAUGGAUGAAGGAGUGCCAAGAUCAAUGCACUAAUAUCUAUGCUCGAGAAAAUUAAUGGUGUCAAGUUGAUCAAGUUGAUAGUGCCUCCCGAUGCUUAAGCUCAUUGAGGGGCCACUCCAAAAGGCUGGUUUCAAGUUUGAGGUUGGCAUGAGUAGCAGCAAGAGGAGUGGCUCACUUAUUGUUUUUCUCAGCCUGAAGAUCAUUGGAGUUCUAUGGCAUCCACAACAUUUUUGUGAUGGAUCCUUGUAGGUCAUGGUUUAAGUGUAAUUAAGGUAAAUUCCAAGGCCUAUGUUUCUUCAAACUCAGUCAGAUAAUUUGAUUUUUCAUGUAUACAAUCCCAAGCUCCAAAAAAAGUGAUAAUGAAAUGUUCUUAGGUCCUAGUGAAAGUCCUAGUCCCAAUGCAAUACUUCAUCUAUUCCAAAUUAGCCUAUUGGCUGCUUUCGCAUAUACUGAAAUCCCAUCAACUGGAUUUCCUUUGUUUUUUAAACCUUUUUUGUGGCUAAAUCUAGACAUUUACAGGCACACUUCCAACUAAGUGGCCUGUUGCAUUGUAGAAAAUAAAAGAUUUUAUAAUGUUUUAUUUAUGUUUUUGUAAUGGGAUUUUUUAGCUAUAUAGACCCUGGCUUCUGGAAUCUAAUAUUGUUUCCUCUAAGAAAACACAUGCUUACAAUUACUUCCUCAAUUCUUAUUUAGAUCUUGUUAAAGUGGAAUAUAACAAUUAUUUGAUACUAUUCCAACCUAGUUUUCAAUAUAGGCCAUGAAAUAAUGCUAUCAUGGUGGAAAAUAAAGCCUAAAAUUGACCACCUUUAAAAUAAUAUUUUAUAAGUAAAUUUUUUUUUGUCACAUGACAAGCGCACUGGAUCAAACCGGAUCGAAGUGCAAGCAAGCACAAAAACAAACAAAUAACAAAACUAACUUGUUAAUUGGGCAGCAUAUGCAUAGCAAUUGGUAGUAAUUAAAAAAAUUGAAGAUUUUGUGCAUCAAAGAGGCAUUAAUCUAUAUAGAUAUAGCUAUAAUAUUUAUGAAGAUAAGGUUUAAGUUGGUCUAAAAUUAAAUUUAACCAGGUUUGGUAUAGUUUAAAGUUUUCAAAUUAAUUAAUUAAAUUAAACUCACUUUUUUUUUGUAUAAAGAGCAGGAGUAAAACAUAUUUGCUGAUACUCAUCACACAAUUCGAUUGAGCUUCACAUUUUUUAUUUGGUGAACAUAUUGGUUUGUUAAAUUGAUUGCCAUAUAAGAUAACAAGUUGCUAUAAAUAAAGAAGUUCUUUUCCUUAAAAAAUUAUGUGUAGAUUCAUUGCCUUGCUGGUCUAUAUGCUAGAAUUAUUUUGCCCAGAGGGCUAGACUACAGUUUGCUUGAACGCACUGGGAGUUGCUAUUCCUUUCUUGCUUGUGACCGUAUGCCAGCUAUUGGUCAUGGAGGUGAAGCGGUUGGUUUCUCAUUUUCCUUUUAGCUUGUGUCCAGCGUUGAGGAUCAAAUUGUGGUCUCUCUCUUUCAAAUUGCUUUACUUUUGUUUCGCAUUGUUUCUCUUGAAUGCAUCCUUGGCAUUACCUGCGUUGACAAUAGGCCACAAACAAAUGGCUGUUGGCUGAAGCGCUUGGGACUUGGAUUUCAGACUGGAAUGGAGUGAUUUGCAUUCUUUUCGUGAUUUCUUUAUCAUUUUUGUAUUUUCGUCAUUUUGCUUUGAACUCAGGUGUAUCACCAACAUGAGAAACUAGCUUUUCGAAAAUGAUACUUGCAAAAAUCUUCAUAUUCGAUACUUAGUUAGAGAUCUUGUUAGCAGAGUAAUCAAUCUUAGCCGGUAUUUCUUAUCAUUUAUACCAGCCUGCCAUUAAAAAUCUCAAGAGGAAACAAAAUCCAGAACACAGUCCCUGAAUGAAACAUAUAAGACUAAUUGCCUUGGAUCACAUGACAAGAGAAAUUCACCUGGAAAAUCAGCAGCCGGAUACACAGUUGCCGCUCAGUGCAUCUUCCAAACCAUCUCAAGAACAAGUUAACCAGAUUCAUAUCCUUACUGCCGGUUAAAAGCCCCGUUUUCGGCUCAAAGCUACAUCACAAAAGGUCUACAAGUUAGCGAAAGACAAAGCUGAGGUCUUUACCUUGGUAAUCGAUGUCUCGGACAUGGCACCCAUUUGAAGAGCUGCGAGGCAAGUUACUUAGCACAAAAACCGAAAGAUUAUAUGGCUGACUUACCUGUGGAAUGGAGUAAACAAAGUUAAUAAUCUGUGGUAAGAAAAAAAGCAAAAGAGUCUCGCUAAAAUGGCCGAGGAUGCCCGCCACAGCCAUUGUCAUCCCGGCAAAAUACGUGUAAGUGUCUCCAACAAAGACAGAUGAUGGAUACCUGCGGAAGAGAGAACUGCAGUCUUAAGACUUAAAGAGAUAUCAAAAUGUUUACCAGUUAUAACAAAGCAGCCCAAGCGACGCUCCAACAAGUGGUUGUGUGAGAUAAAUUGAAAAGGCGUGUGCUUGCUGGUAAUCAGCGUCUGAGCUACUCACGAUUUGCAUCAUGUUGUGAAUCAAAAUCUGUACCCACGUUCUGGUCAAGAGAAAACACAAAGAAAAGAAAACAACUUUGUCGUACCGCAGAAGAUAUCACAAGAGUUUGCCCAACUUCCAGUCCAUUCACGCCGGCGAGAAUGUUGACAGCGUUGGUGCAAAACACGGCUAACAGGCCCAUGUAAACUUUGUAUAGCACGCCUAACAAGUGUAAAAGCUGUUCAAGAACAAAUCGGACCAAAAGAAAAGAAGAAAAAUCUUACCCAAGUCGAGCACCUCCACUUCGAGGUAGGCUCGAAGAGGUUUCGGAAUAACAAUUGUCGUGUGCCCCGCGUAUGCCAUCAGUAGGGGAAGAGCAGCGAACGAAGGAAGUAAAAGUUUCCUGAGAGCAAAAGAAAUACUCGAUUUUUUUUCGCGAGAAGGAGAUCAUGAAACUUACACGCGCCAUGGGAUGUCGAGGACAUCGUCCACAAAGCCGAGAAGAAUCAUAAAUAGUAUAGAUGUGAGAGCCGCAUUGUACUCCAGCAGCCACUACGCACAAAAGGAAAAAGAGAGAAAAGAUCAGCAAACCAUCUCCAAAAACUUAGAAACUUACAGCGGAGUCUGGGCUGAAACAAAAAAUCUGGAAGAGGAUCGUGACGACGACGAACACGAACCCAGUAACAAUCCCGAGCGACUCGGGCCUGCGAGGAGAUCCAUUUCAUUCGCAAUAGAUUUUUUCUUUUUUCCAAAAACUUACACUUGGAUUGAUCCAGCCGGAGAGCCUUUCUUGUUGAUGUCGUAUCCAAACAUGUUCCUUUUUAGCACGUAGCGCGCGACGACUGGAACGAGCCGGAUUACUGCGAAGAAGGCGCCGACGCUCAUACAGAAGCUGAUCGCGAUCGAUCGGCAGAGCUCCGCAUCCAGAUCGCGCGCGUGACGAGCAAAGAGCGCGAUGUAGGCGGCGAGGCAUAGCGAUCCAAAGAUCAAUGUUGCUGUGUACCUUGGCGUGGGAGGAGAUGCCGCUGGAGCCGCCAAUUCCUUGUCAUUGGCGGAAGCUGGGAAGCCCCGCCGUCUCCUCACAUCCGCCAUAGCCACCUAGAACCCUAAAUAUUUCCCUCGGAGAAAAAUCACAUUGUCUCACUAAUCUCAUGGGCGAUCGAGCAGGGAAGAACAAAAUGUCUGUCAAGGGCGACUAGAUUUCGUGGGCGAUCGAGCUGGGCAAGCGUUUGCUAGGAGCACAAAGAAAGGAGAGGAUGUUUCCACGAGGAGCUUCGCGUGAUCACGCUUGGAUCGAUGCUCCAAGCUCCUAUACGAGGAGGCGAGCAAGCACUUCCAAUCCAGCGCGUCCGGCACGAAUGGCAUCGUCGCGAUGAGCUCCCAUGCCUCGUCCAAUCGCCCCAGGCGCCCACAGAGAUCUAGCACGCAACAGUAGUGCUGCUUGGUGGGAUUUAGGCCGAAAUCCAUUCGCAUCGACACGAAGCUCCUCCUCGCGGCCUCGAGCUUCCCGGCGUGGCUGCAAGCGAGGAGCACCGACACAAAGCAGGAUUCGUCGGGAGAGUGCGUGAGAUUCAUCGUGUUUAAGACGCGAAGCGUUUCGCCGUGGAGCAGGCAGCGCGAUUGAGCGUACGCGGCAAGGAUCGAGCUCCAUGAAACGAUAUCUUUCUCGUCCAUGGCUUCGAAGAUCUUCCCACACUUCGCAAUUUGCCCUUCUUUGGCAUAUGCUGCGAGAAAAGUGUUCCAGCUUACUUGAUCUUUGAUAUCCAUCUUAUCAAACAAAACUUGUACUUCAUUCAUACAUGCGUGAUACGAAAAAGAUGCGAGCAUCGCAUUGCAUGAGACCACACUCCAAAAAGGAAACUUUGCAAAGAUGUUCUUUGAUUCCCGCAAAUGCCCAUUUUGGGCAUAUGCGAAAAGCAUUGAUGUCAUGGACACGACGUCGUGCUCCGGAAUCUUUUCAAACAAACACGUAGAAUCUUCGAUUUUACCGCAUUUUCCAUAGCCCACAAGCAUUGCGGUAAAGGUGACGGCGUCCCAUCUCGCCAUCUGAUCAAACAAAACCCUCGCUUUUCCGACUUCCCUGCUUUCGGCAUAUGCUUGAAUCAUGACAUUUGAUGCCUCGAUUCCCCACACUGACAUCUCCAGGAAACACAACUCGGCCUCGGAUAUUCUACCACAUUUUACGUAAGCCCACAGCAUGGCCACCCACGACACCAUAUCACGCUCCUCCAUAGCCAUAAAAACAUCCACGGCGUUUUCCAAAUGCCCCGUCUGGGCAAAAGCGACAAUUGUAGUCGUCGAUGAAACCACAUUCUGUUCCGGAAUCCUCUGGCAUAUUUGCAACGCCUCUUCCCUCAAAGAAUGGUGAGUGUACGCAACUAGCAUGAUAUUCCACGCCGCAAGAUUCCGCUCCGGAAUCUCCUCAAAGAGUGACUGCGCUAUGGAAAUAUGCCCGUCCCGGGUAUAUGCGGAGAGCAUAACAGCCCAGGAAAUAGCGUCGUGCGCCGGCAUCGUAUCAAAGAAAGGACGCGCCUGGUUUGAUCUGGAGUAACAAUUUAGCAUCGUGUUCCAUGAGAUGAGGUCCCUACAUGGCAUUUGGGCGAAGAGAAGCUCGGCUUGGGCUAAAUCUUUCACUUGGGCGAGUGCUACAUUGAAAUUUCUUAAAGUCAUCUUAGGUCAAAGUUGGAUUAGUCUUGAGUUCGAAUCGAGGUGUUAUUUAGGGCUGCUAUAUUAAAGUCGUGGGCUUUAAGCAAAUUAUUAGCAUCUCUAAGUCGCUUUGGCCGAGUGGUUAAGGCGUGUGCCUGCUAAGUACAUGGGUUCUGCCCGCGAGAGUUCGAAUCUCUCAGGCGACGAGAUUUCUUUUAGGGUUCUUCUGUUGGAAAAACUUUGGAAACAACCGUCGAUAGCCUUCCAUCUCUUGCUGGAGCUGGAAACUCGAGAGAAAAUCGCUGGUGUCGAGAGUGUCGACCAGUCGGGUCACCUGCUCUUCGUGGAGCGCAUUGGCGUCUUCCAUCUGGAGCUGGAGAUCAAGAGUUUGCGAGACAAAAAGAAACUAGCGAUCAAUCCCUCAAGAACAAGAAAGGACGUACCCGAUCGAGCAAAGUCUCCUCGAUCAAGUGUUGGUAGUGCAAAUUCCUGAGCUUGGACAAAUUCUCGGCCUCGCGGCUGUAGGAAUCGAUGAUCCUGGGCAGCGUCUUGGAUGAGGACCCGGUGGAGGAGGAGAGGCGAUCGAUCUCGGCUGUGCCGGCGCGCCGAAUCGCCACUGGCCGUGGAACAGCGCCCAGGAGGAAGAUGGUUUUGGUGGCGGUCUGGACCGCAUUCUCGGCAUUCUCUUCGCUCGCCAUCUCCACAGCCGCCCAUCCCAUGGACUGGUGCCCGGGCUGGAGGGGAUUGCGAGCCAGCUCCACGCGAUUGAUGGUGCCCAGCUGCGAUAGUCCCUGCCGCACCGCUGCUUUGCCCGUGAAUGGCGAGAGGUUCUCCACGAUCACGGUGCGGCGGAGAAGAUCCUGGCUCCGGGAGGGCGCCGCGACCUGAUCUGGUCGCAAGAAGCAUCGCUUGAGGUCGUUCUGGCCCUUUCUCGGACGAGAGCGCUUGCAAUCUCGGAUCUUUCCCUCUCGACGUCGCGGAGGCGCUGUGGCUGGCUCGAUCUUUCCUCGUCGCGACGAAAGAUGAGCUUCGCGAUCGGGAUUACGUACCAGCGAUUGAUCUAGCUCGCGAAGGGAGCGAUAUUUCGGUGGAGCCGACGCUGGCGAGCGCUUGCGAUCUCGAAAUCCCUCUGGAAUCGGCGCCGGCGGCGCUGCUAGAGAAGCUGUCGAUGGAUCGACAAGGAAAGACGAUUCCCCGGGAACAGGCGGCGGUGGAUCAGCGGGAAGAGGAGGAGGCGACUCUUCGCCGGAGAGAGGAAGAUCGAGGCAGCCGUUCUCCAUAGCCAUAAAGAACGAAGCUUGUCGAAAUCCCUCUGGAAUCGGCGCCGGCGGCGCUGCUAGAGAAGCUGUCGAGGGAUAGACAAGGAAAGACGAUUCCCCGGGAAGCGGCGGCGGUGGAUCAGCGGGAAGAGGAGGAGGCGAUUCUUCGCCGGAGAGAGGAAGAUCGCCCUCCAUAGCCACAAAGAACGAAGCUUGAACGGGGUAGAAUAUCCCUCCCAUGGAGCGUUUGAAAACAAAUACGCUAUGGGAGGUUUAUUCUAGGGUUUUCUCUCUGGAUGCUGGCUCGGCCAUGGCAGAUCGGAAGACCUAGGAUCGAAUGCUUGGCGAGGGGAAUGGCGCAGCAGUCGCGAUCGCCGCUGGCAUUGGCGGCAGCGAGCCUUGGGGCCGAGGAAUGGGAUCUCACAACGGAGGAGAUGGAUUCCAUGGAGAGGAAUGCCGCGCAGGAGCUGGCUGCCCGGCGCCUGGAUUCACCGCUUAAAUCGCAUCCGGAGCUCCUGGCUCGAGCGGUGGAGGGGAGGACAUCGCAGCAAAGCCCCUCUCCCCCCGUCUCGCCUUUCUCGAAGCGGCCUUUGCGUCUCAAGCUCUCCAGAGAUGGGCACAACAUCGCAGUGGAGGCUCCCUAUAACGCGGUUAGUUUUUCCGAUCACACCAACGUGAGAAUGGGAAGAACAUCACAACUUUUUCGUGUUAAUGCAGAGCCUCAUAGCGGCCUAUAAAUCUGUUGCUGGCCAUGAAUGGGAUCGCGGUCGAAGGCAAGCUUUUGCUUUCCAUGUUUCAUAAUUUUUCUCUCGAGUGUUGGUAGGCUUUGGUUGUUUCCCGAGCACAAUGUCCAAGAACUUCUGAGGGCUGUGACUGGCACUCCCGACCUUGUGCUCGACGUAUAACUUUCUUCUCCUUCUUUUAACGAACAUUAACUUUUCCUUCUUUCUCUUUUGUAGGUACAAGCAGUUCCUCCUCUCAAGCUACCUCAUCUUAAUUAUGGCUGGAAUCCGCCUUCGUGCUCGGGUACAUAUCAAAUGCCUUUACGUUGUCGUAUUAAUCUCGUCAAUCUAGGACACGGAUCUUCUCCGUUAUGUACUCCGACAAAGUCUCAGGAUAGCCGAAGUGGCAUGGCUGAAAACGCUGGUUCUCCUCUCAAAGAGCUAGUGGUACAGAUUUUCUUGAUAGAUGACAACCGUAUCGCGGCUCGAAGUCCCUAUAAUCAGGUCCUAUUCGAAGAACUUUAAGAAGUUUGACUGGCUCUUGAUUUUUUUUACCAGAAUGUUAAGCAAGCUUGCCAGUCUGUUACUGGAAAGCUUUGGAAUAACGAAGAAAGGUAAGAAUUGUCCUAAGAGCUGUUGAAUUUUUGAACUGUUUGUUGUCUCUUUCAGAGUAUGGACUUACCCGAGAUCUAGCUUGAUUGAUCUGGUGCGUGCGCUGCGGAGUGUCUCGUGUCCACGGGUUAACGUAUGAGUUAUUGCUUGCUUGAUAUUAGCUGACAUCAUCCGUAACAGGUCGAAGUUACGCCUCCGUUAAUUCUUCCUCCUGAUCAGAGCUUUGGUGAGCCUUUAAUUUUCUUUUCCUUUCUUUCUUGGUUUUUACGGGCGCAACCACAGGUUCAGUUUCUCCUUGCAAUUGGAAUAGAGGUGAGAGCGAAGUUUACUCUUUUGCUGCCCCCGAGAAACUGCCGCCUACAUCUGAUAACUUAUCUAAGCAAUUUGUGAAGUUGUUUCUUCAUAGCACUGGCCUUAUUGCUGUCAAAUGCGAACCAUCUCAGGUACAGCUUUUUAUCAGACAUAUUCUGUGAUGUUUUCCAUCCAUUUACAGAAACUGAUAUCGGUUUUGAAGUCCAUCUCAAAAGCAUUUUGGAACUACAGAGAACGGUGGGAUGAACGUAUUCAUAUUUUCUUAUUGUUAUUUAUGCUUUCAGGCUGUGGAUGUUUCCCCCUUGUUCUUUGUCCGAAGCAGAAAAAGCUUUUGCAGAAGUACCUUGUGAAGUAAGGUCGAAUACAAUUGGGAUAUAUUACUAACUUGUUUUUACAGAUAGAAGCUUUUGGACCAUUAGUGCGGCGUGCUUUAGAUUUUCAGCGAGAUGUUUCUGAUCUUAUUGGUAAACGCUUCAGAGAUGUUCUGAAACUGAUGGUUUUUCUAUGUCUUACAGGUUAUUAUAAGAACAUUCCUGGCCACCUAGAAUCAAGCCUUAUGCCCUUUCAGCAGGAGGGAGUGCAGUUCGCGUUGCACCAUGGCGGACGAGCUUUGAUUGCGGACGAAAUGGGGCUUGGGAAAAGUGUUCAGGUAUGUAUGUAAACAACGGUAACAGCUUUUGAACGACAUUUUUGUGCAGGCAAUAGCUGUAGUGUCUUGCUUGAGGGACUACUGGCCGGUUUUGGUGAUUGUUCCGUCGUCAUUGCGGAUACACUGGGCUACUGUUAAGUUUUCUUAAUGUUACAAGAAAGUUUUGUCUUUCUUACCCCUUUUUAUUUUCUUUUUCUUGUUAUGUUUCUUUUUGCUGCAGAUGCUUAAAACGUGGCUGGAAAUUCGUUCUUGCGACAUAACGGUAUGUUUUUUUUUCAAUCGUUCUAUCCGUAGACGGUUUCAUAUUUCAUGCGAGAUAGAUCGUUUUGAGUCAAGGGACCGGAUCAAGUCAGGGAUACACUAUCGCGCACUCUCAAGGGAAAAAAGUGCUGCAGCUGGGUGGAUUAUUUAAUAUCAUUUCGUAUGACAUGGUGUCAAAAUUGCCUGUGGAUAACUUCAAGGUGGGAUGAAUAUGCAUUAUUAUCAUUUUCUUUUUCCCUCCUAGGUUGUUAUUGCAGACGAGUCUCACUACAUAAAAAACGCUCAAGCCAAGCGUACCAACGCCUGUGUUCCUAUUAUCCAAGUACGUAAGUUUCUCAUCUUCUUUCGCUGAGAGUAUCGCUUGCCAGAAAGCGAAGUAUGCAGUGCUUUUGACAGGCACUCCUGCUCUGUCUAGGCCAGUCGAGCUAUUUAAGCAGGUUUGACAUCACAUAGUUUUACGUCAUGAAAAUUCAGGAGUGCAAACUAACAGCUAGAGGCGCUUCAACCAAGUGUUUAUAGUGACUUUCACGAGUACGGGCAGCGAUACUGCAGCGGGGUAAUGAGGCAUUGUUUUCUGCUCAUAGCAUUCACUAUUCUGUCUUUCAGAGUCAUUUUGGCAUAUAUCAAGGGGCAAGCAAUCGUGAAGAGCUUCAUGCGCUGCUCAAGAGUACCGUUAUGAUACGGAGGCUUAAGAAUGAUGUUCUUUCUGAACUUCCUGAAAAAUGUCGCGAGCAGGUAAGUUUAUUAAUUUGAUUAGCUUGUGUUCUUGAAAGCCUUGCAGGUUUUUCUGUCCUUGGACAUGAAAAGCACUAGACAACUUCGUGCUCUCAUUAACGAGGUACGUUUUGUUUUUCUUCUUCUUCUUUACGUUGUUGACAAUGUAUGUCAUUUUCCUUUUUCUUCUUUUUGUUUUUCUUUUGUUGCAGCUGAAAAGUAUCCGGGAAAAAAUGCAAAAUUCGACGGAAAGCGAGACUGAGAAAUUGAAGAGGGAGGAGAAGGUUCUAAUCACUAAGGUAAGCGGAGGGAGAUUCUAAAGUUCUAAGUCUUACGUUUAUCUAUUCUAAAGUUAUAAGUCUUACGUUUAUCUAUCUGCUAGAUAUAUGCGGAAUCAGCUGUUGUAAAGGUUCCAGCUGUUCAAGAUUACUUAUCCACGAUGCUCGAGGUACCUGCAAGCUUUCCCAAGUUGAGGCUAUUGACAUGUUUGUUUUCCAGACGAAUUGUAAGUUUCUUGUUUUUGCUCACCACCAUACUAUGGUGAACGGCAUCGACGAACACUUAAAGGUUCAUUUGCAAAACAUUUUCAAACAAUUACUUAUGCCUUUUUCCAACGCAGAAAAAAAAUGUGGAGUUUAUUAGGAUAGACGGAGACACAUCACCUGUGAUUCGUCAAAGUAUGGUGGACAAGUUUCAAAACAACGAGAAAGUGAGAGCGGCUGUGGUAUGUAGCUAUCGCAAAAAUUUGCCGGCUAAAAUGCUAUCAUUUGCAGCUAAGCAUACGGGCCGCCGGCCUUGGUCUCACUUUAACUAGCGCUAGUACUGUCAUCUUUGCCGAGAUGACUUGGACGCCUGGAGAUUUGAUUCAGGCGGAAGACCGUGCGCACCGUAUUGGUCAGGUAAUAUCCAUCUUAGCUUUAUCAAGCGUUUCUAUGUUGCCCGCAGAGGUCAUCUGUGAAUAUUUACUACCUCCACGCCCCAGAUACUAUAGACGAUUUUAUCUGGUACUACUUUGCUUGUCUUUUAGAAUGCUUUUUCUGAUGGACGUGUGAUGGGACAGGGAAACAAUUCAUCGCAAACUUGGGAACCUUGGUCAGGUAUGUGAUCUUCCAUCGCUGCUUAGUUUUUGUUUGCAAUCCUACAGUUAUUUUCUUUCGCCAGGUGCUAAAUGGUCGAGAAGAAACGAUGCGCGUGGCUUCGCCUCUGCAGCAUCGGCAGAGAACUAUAAACAACUACUUGCGACCAUGCUCGAGAAAUCUGUCCGAGCAAUAUGAGAAAGACAAGCCAGGAACUUCGGCAGCAAUGGAAUCAAGUGAUGUUUCGCGAAAAUUAUCGCUUGGAGAUGGCAAGCCAGUCGAAAGUUCGCCGUUCAAGCGUCCCAAGCUCUUGUAAAGUAGAUGUCAAGAUUAGACCCUUGUAAAGUUUAAACUUAGAUUGGCGGGAGAUAUUUUAAGGCGGAGCUUCCGAUUCGGAGUGCAUCGUGAGUCGACAGUUCUCUUCCCAGUGUUACAAUAUAUAUCUGUCUAUAUGCUGUUAAAAGAAAAACACUCAAAGAUGUAAAGAGCCUUAGAAAAGCACAGUAGCUUGCACGGAAGAAACCUGAGCUACGAUCUCUUGGUUGAUUCAAAUGGAAACUUGAGCCUUGUUUGAGCUCGUUCAACAGAGUCUGAAGCUUUCUCUGGUAAAGGUUUGAGAUCGAUCAGCCAUUGGCUUUCUCCCAUUAUGAACUUUCUUACAAUCUGCAUCAAUUGACACAGGGAUUUACUCUUCUUUUCAGUGCAGGUCUUCUCUCCCGGAUGGCAUUGGAAUGCUGUGCGACACAAUGCUGGAGCCAUGGCAGCCAGUAAUCUCCAGGAUAAGAGGAGCUGCCAGCUAGCCACUCGAUUGUAAGGGGAGUGUGAUGAGUUUUGUCGAGCAGCAAAAGUUAGAGUGCCUGUGAGGUGAAUUUAACUAUUUAAGAAUUUUAUGAAAUAAAAAAUGUUUUUAUUAGAAAAUAAAAUAUUAAUUAUUUUAUAUUUGGUAAGGAUAUAUGUUAUUUCUUAUUUCUUAAAGAUGAUAUAUACAUACACACAAUAAGCAAAUGUUGGAUGAGUACAAAUAUUAAUAAUUUUAUACAAUUUUUUUCUUUUUGAUGUCUUUAUAUAUAUACACUAUACAGAAUAAACCAUGUAUGUUUAGAACAUUAAUAUGAAAAAAAUAUUUACUAAGUAAAUAUUAUUAAUAAAGAUAUUAAAUGCAAAGUACUAUUUAGGAGCAUAAAAGUAUUUAAAACACUAAGACUUUAAGAAAACUUAAUAUGAAAUCUAAAAAUAGUAAAUAAAAAUUGCUAAGAAGAAUUUUUUUAUACUUAUUACAUGUGGAAUUUAAAUAUAUUUACUACAUUCUAGAUCAAUAAAGUAAAAGAAGCAGUAUUAAAAAUGUAUUUUAUUAAUUAUAUAAAAUAUAUUUUUAGAGAAAUCAUUUAUAAAUAAAUUAAACUGGUGGCUUGCCAUCUCAUCUAUUAUUGCUUUUACAAAUUGUGUUAAAAAGUGAAUUUUUGCAAUGACUUUGUUCAAAUCCUUGAAAUUUACGCAAAGUUGAAACUUACUAUUAGUUUUAUAUAUAGGAAUUAAGUUGGAAACCCAUUAAAAAUGCUUUAUAGGAUAGAUAAAGUUUAAAGAAAACUUAACAUAUAAAAAAAUUUAUAAUACUAAGAAGUUAAGAAAAUUAAUAUAUUAAUACCUAAACUCAAAUAAUAAUAAUUAUUAUUAUUAUUAUUAAAUUAGGGAAGCAUUAUUUAUUUAUAUGUGCUUACUUGGAAUAUAAAUAAAUAUACAAUACUAAGAUUUUAAGAAAAUUUAUAUUGAAAUAAAGACUUUUACAUAAAAUCAAACACCUAAAAUAGAAUCUAAUUUAAUUAAUUAAUAUUUAAAUAAUAUAAAUAUUAGCAAAGAAUUAGUUUACUAUGUAUUUUACUUAGAAUAUAGAACAAAAAAAUUUUAAGAACACUAAUACUACUACCUAGACCAGGUGAAACUAAGAAAAGAAUUACAAAAACUAUUUUUUAUUAAUACAUGCUAAAUGCAGACUAAAAUUCCAAACCUAAUAUUCCAACUAUUAAACUAUAUUUGUAAUUAGUCAACAUAUUUUAAAAUAUUAGUGCUUAAUAAUGGUUGUAAUUGUGAAAAUGGUUGUUUAUACUUCUAUUGUUAAAGGUGUUUAAUUUUUUUUGUAAUAAGACUAAGCUAACCCAUAACUUGAGCUGAACCUUAUGUCUAAAAUGUAAAUCUCAUGCCUAUAACAAGGGAUUUAUAUGGAAUUAAUGUAAUUGCUCAAUCUCAAUAGAUCAGUACAAAUAAAGAAUUGCCUUAUCAAUUGGUGAGGAGAAACUCUAUCUAUCAACCAAACAUAUACAUAAAGAAGAAAAAUGUAUGAUAAACUACUUAGUUAUAUGGUUUUAAUUUAAAUCAAAAUGAAUUUUAAUCAUAGUAUCCAAGCUUUUUUAUCUCUAGGAAAUGAUAUUCUUAGCCUAAUGGUUUUGCCACCUAAGCAACAUCUACUGCACAAUCACCAGUAGACUUGGUAGCCAUGCCCUACAAGAACCACAAGACCUCUUGUUCUCGUACCCAUAGGCUAAGUGGCAUCUAAUUAUAUUAGCUAAUUGAGGUAAUUCUUGGUUCAAAGGUUUCAACCACCUGAGCAACAUUUGCUGCACAAUCACCAAUAGACUCAGCAAAUAUACUCUAUGGGAACCCUAAGAGCUCUUGUUCUUGUGCCCAUCGCAUAAGGAGUUUUCCAGAAGCAAAAACAAAUUAAUAAGUGAUGCAAAAGGGCCACAAACCCACAACAAGCAACAUUUUUUUUCAUCUGUUAUCCAUGGCUUAUAAUUCUCUGCCCCAAUCUCCCAAAUUUAUGCCCAUGAAUUCAAAUGAUAAACACUCACCAGAGAAUUGAAUGCUAAUAGCAGACUAGAUCAAUCAAUUUCCCAUGGCACUUGGUUGUUAGAUAGCCAUAGCACUCCACAUGUCACUCCUUUGCUCAUACUAGUCCAGCCUUAGGGAGAGAAGCAAGAACUUUUGCAAAAAGAAUGGAUAAGAUAGUAUAUGCAUGAGUUAAGCAUGGUAGACUCAACAUACUCAUCCACAAACCAUGGAGCUCUUGGGCCUCCAUCUCUAGCACUAGGUGGCCAUUGACCACCACUAACAUCCCUAUGCUUAAGCAGCAUAAACUCUUAGGCCUCUAUCUUUUAAGAGUCAUAGAUGAUCUAUGUGUUAAGAGAAGAAAAUAUUGCAAAUGAGGAAAAAACACUAAAAACAUGACCAAAAAAAUAAAUAAAAAUGAAAGAGUAUAAAGUAAAGAAAAAGGAUUAAAUGGCAAAUUGAAGGAUUUACAUUUAUCUGAAAUUACUCAUUACAAUUUAAAACCACUCAAUCUUGUAUACAUCAUCUUCCUAUAAACUUCAUUUUUGAAUAUUCUUUAAAUUUUGAAUUAUAUCAUCUAUAACUCUCCAAUUGAUGUCACAAUUAUGCUCCAUAUUAAUGAGAGAUAAUAGAACAUUAAAAAUAGGAGGCACUAUUGUCCCAUAAAGGUUGAAAGUGACAAUACAUUAAGGAUGGACACAACAUUAAUAUGAUCACACUUUACAACAUCAAAAGCUCAAUUCAACAGAAUAGUAUUAGUAGCUUUAAGUGACACUCUUUCAUCAAUGAAGGCAUGGCAUAAUGGAAGAAAGAAAUGUAAUCAAGAUCAAAUUGAAAAACAAAGUUAAGUAUAAUAAUAACUAGAAUUCCAUUUUUAGCAAGAUGUUAACAUAAAUUUAGAUCUAAAAGAGAAUGAAGGAUUAUAAACAAAAACAUGAUCUUGAAUAUUAGAGUAAAGCACUAUAUUUAUAUAUAUACAUACAUACAUACAUAUAUAUAUAUAUAUAUAUAUAUAUAUAUAUAUAUAUAUAUAUAUAUAUAUAUAUAUAUAUAUAUGUAUGUAUGUAUGUAUGUAUGCAUAACAUACAUAUAUACAUGCACACAUACAUACAUACAUACAUAUAUAUAAACACAUAUAACUAAUACUAAAAGAGCUGAAGUUUGUGGGCUGCCAGAUCUGGCCAAUCAGCACCAUUAGAUGUGGGGCAACUUAGUAAAUAUCAUUUUUUUAUUACACAUCCUUUGGAAAUAUUUUUGUGAGGUUUCAGCCAGCCAAUAAACACAUAGCACAGCCCAAGCUGGGGGAGGUGUUAGUGACACCUGUUUGUUUGUGCGGCCCAAACUCUCUUUUUACCACAGCUCCUCCCAACUGCAAAAUUUUGAGCAGAAGCAAGAGAGUACCUAAUGCCUGAUUUUUAAUCUUGUAUUAAAUUUAAUAUUUUUUCUCCUCCUCAUGGAUAGUGAAUGUAUGUAUGAAACUAAAAUUUAACUUCUGUUUUGUUAAAUUUGGUAUUAAGUAAUUUCCUCUAUUCCAAAGGUUAAAUCACUUUUGUUAAAGUUUCAAGUUGAGUGUAUGUCUCUAGUUGUAAAUGCCAUUAAAAGCUUUUAUUUUAUUGUGGCUACUAAAGAUAUUAUAUGUUCCUUUCAAAGUUUGGUUUUUUCAAUUAAUUUCCCCAUUUCAAAUAUUGAGUUGUGUGUAGAGAAGAUUGAGUGGUGUAAAUCUCUUUUUUAUCAUGUGAUGACUAAAGUAUUUUAUACUAAGAGAUCUUUUAUUUUUCAAGCUUUGAACUCAUUUUCUUGUUAUUAUUUCUUCAUUUUUUCCUUAAAAAUUGAAAAUUUCUCUUUUGGUCCUUAUUAUCCACUUUUUCUUCUUCCAUAAUAUUUUUUUCUCAAUUUAUCUCACUUUAUUAACACUUUAAACUUUUUUUCUUUAUAAAAAGGGGUAGAAGGGAUGGAUGAAAAUUCAGACCCAAUAAUAAAGUAAGGAUGAAUAAAUAUAGUAAUAGAGUGAGAAUGAAUAAUAUAAAUUAUGGAGUGAUGAAGAGCAUAACAAGUAUAAAUUGAAGAUAAUCUAUCCAUUUUUGUAUAAAAAUAGUGAAUCUAAACCUUAAUUAAUAUAUUUAUUCUCUUUUUCUAUCAAUCACACACAUAUAUUUGUGUGUAUAUUAUAAUAUGUAUGGAAAAGUAAAAAAAAAUUAUAUUUUAUAUUUUGAUAUAAGAAAUUAUGGUAUAUAUUAUUUAAAUAGAGAUAUAACAAGUUAUUAAUUGUAUUGCAUUUUUUAUGACCCUUGCCUAUAAAUUAAUUUACUUGCAUCUAAAAAAAUUUAAUUCUAUUUAAUUCAUUUGUUGAGUUAUUUAGAAAUGGUCCAAGAAUAUACUUACUAUAUGUCACUUUAACCAAAUAAAAAAUUAUUUUUUUGCUAUAUCACUUUUUUGUUUUAUAACUUUACAACUUGGUAAAUGAGAAAACAUACAUCUAUACAUUGAAAAACAAUGUAUUAAUUAUCAUAAUUAUUAUAUUAUUUUGUAACAUGAAACUUUGUAAUUUUAUGUUUCAAUAAUAUAUUAUAAUAACCAAAAAUUUAUUGUAAACCCCAACCUAAUUUUGUAUACCUUUCUUUAGAAAGUGUUUUUAAUUUUUUUAAAACUAAAAAUAAUAUAUAUUAAAAAACAUUUCUAGCUUCACUUUUUUCUCAUUAAAAAAUACUUUUAUUUAUAUAUGCUUACUUGUGAUAUUCUACAUAAGUUAAAUAUGGUACUUCAGGUAUACUUUAUUUGUAUUUAAUUCAAAUAUUAGCUGUUAAAAGUGUUAAGAAAUAUUUAAGAAUAUUCAUAAGAUUAAUCAAUCUAGAAAGCCUAUUUACCUCGCAGAUAUUAUUAUCUUGUUAUCCUUUCCUUUAGUGAGCAAAAGUUUCUACUAAUUUAAAUUUGUAACUAUUGAAAUGAUGUAAUUGUUUGAGGUUGUCUAUAUACUACAAUCCACCAUUUCAUUGACUCCAUUAAAUGUUUGAUUAAUAAUUCUAGUGUUGAAAGAUAUGUUAUAAGAACACUUAAAAAUAAUAAAGGAAACAAAAAAAGUGCUAGUUUGAAAGUCAUAGGUUGUUUAGCUAUUUGAAAGUCAUCCCCCUAGGUCUAAAUUGUUGAAGGCUAUUAAUAUCUCAUUCUGAAAUUGAAGUUAUCAUAAAUAUCAACACUCACUUGCCCCUUGGUGCUUGAGAAUGCUGAAUUGCUUGUUUUCACUACAUUUUUAAGUAAGUAUUUCUGAGAUUUUUGUAUUGUUUUGUUUAUCUAUUCGAAUUUUGUGAUAGAUUUUAAAUUUUAUAAAAAGGUAUUAUUGUUGCUGAAUUGCUCAACAUGUGCCCUUCAAAGUGUGCGUCACCAAAAGCUCCCAUUUGGUCUCAAAUUGGUCCAUGCAGUAGAGUAGCCAAGAACUAAACUCCCUAAAGUAGUCACCUUGAUCUAUAAGCAAAGGUGAUUUCCGCAGCUGCGGCAACGUUCUUUGCAGUGAGUGGAAUGAUGAUCGGCCACGAUGGAUUCGCGCAAAUUAAAUUAUUCGGAGAAGAAACCAAGAGUUUAAACUCAUAUUGGCGGGGGAUUAUUAUUUAGGUUUUCAGCAUGUCUAGGGUUCUUGGAGAGGGAGCGAUGGCGGAGCUCCCGAUCCGGCGCGAAUCGGAGUGCAUCGUGAGCGCUGUGCGCGACAACAGUGUCACGGUCGUGAUCGGCGAGACGGGAUCGGGUAAGACGACGCAGCUUUCGCAAAUCCUCCACGAUGCAGGGUUCACAGCCGACGGCAAAUGCAUCGCCAUCACGCAGCCCCGGCGCGUGGCGGCCGUGUCCGUCGCUCGGCGCGUCGCUCACGAGAUGGGAGUGACGCUGGGCGAGGAAGUGGGAUACGCCAUUCGCUUCGAGAACAGGACGUCGAGCAGGACCUUCAUCAAGUAUCUCACGGACGGCUGCCUUCUCCGGGAAUUCCUAGUCGACAUCGAGCUCAGCCAGUACUCGGUGGUGAUCUUGGACGAAGCCCACGAGAGAACACUCAACACCGACAUCCUUCUCGGCUUGCUCAAGCGCCUGGUUGCCUUGAGAAAGCCCGAGCUUAAGCUGAUCGUUACCUCGGCAACUUUAGAUGGUCACAAGAUCUCCAAGUUCUUCGGUGGCUGCCCCGUUGUCAACAUCCCUGGGAAGCUCUUCCCGGUGGAGAUCAUGUAUAGCACCGAGCAGCCAGUGAGCUACGUGGAGUCGGCGGUGGAGACCGCGAUAGAGAUCCACGCCAAGGAGCCUCCUGGUGAUAUCCUCGUGUUCAUGACGGGCCAGGAGGAGAUAGAGAAGGUGAUAGUUAAGCUGGAGCACAGGGUCCAGACUCUGGAAGAAGGCUCGUGUAUGGACGCACUUGUUCUUCCUCUCCAUGCUUCGCUUCCACCGGAGUUUCAGGCCCGGGUUUUCGCCCCGGCUCCUAGCAACUGCCGGAGGAUCAUCGUUGCUACAAAUGUCGCGGAGACGUCUCUCACGGUUGACGGUGUUGUCUACGUGAUUGAUCCAGGCUUCGUGAAGCAGAGACAGUAUAAUCCCACCACGGGCAUGGACGCUUUGUGCGUCGUUCAGAUAAGCAGGGUUCAAGCAACGCAGCGAGCUGGUCGAGCAGGACGGACGUGUCCUGGUAAAUGUUACAGGCUCUACUCGAGCUCCAACUUCGAGCAAGACUUUCCGGCCGUGACGGUACCGGAGAUUCAGAGGUCGUCGCUAGCUGGGGCGCUCCUCCAUCUCAAGUCGCUGGAGAUUCCAAACCUCGACGUGCUGAACUUCGAGUACCUGGAUGCCCCGUCGGUGGCAUCGCUGGAGGAUGCUUUGAGGCAGCUAUAUCUCAUUGACGCAAUCACCAGCAAAGGCGACGUUACCAGCCUUGGCAAGCGGAUGGCUGGGCUUCCGCUGGAACCGUCUCUAGCGAGAGCUUUGAUUGCUGCGGAGGAUCUCGGAUGCCUGGAAGACGCUCUAGUACUGGCUGCGAUGCUCUCUUGCGACUCGGUGUUUUACCAAGCUCCAAAGAAGGAGAAGAAAGAACAAUCAGCUGUUCACCAGGACUUGCCAACAGGAGACGGUUUUGGCGAUCACAUUCAGCUGCUACAGAUCUAUGAGAAGUGGAGAAGGGUGGAUUACGACUUCGAGUGGUGCAAAGAGCACGGUUUGCAGAUAAGAGCGAUGAAGUUCGCGAGGGACAUACGGAAGCAGCUCAGCCUGAUCAUGCAAGGGAAAAGUGACUUCAGGAAGCGGAAAGAUCCAGCGUACAAGAACUUACGCAAGGCUUUUGCCGAAGGCUUUGCGAACAGGCUGGCUCAUCGGCUUCCCAAUCACAACGGGUACCGCACUCUGGCACAAAGCUCUCACCUCGUGCAAGUUCAUCCUUCAGCUUGCAAGAUGGAAAUUGAUGCGGACGGACUGCUACCCGAGUGGAUUCUUUACCACGAGUUGCUAACAACGACACGGCCGUAUAUCAAGAAGAUUUGCGUCAUCGACGGUCGCUGGGCUCAACCGACGCUGGUGAAGCUUCAAGACCUGGACGUCAUAAGCUUGAGUGGCAGGCUGCCAGAAGAGUCAAGGACGCAUUUGGACGAAUCGUCGGAGACUAAGCCCGCAAGUGCCGUCACUCAACCAGCUAACAAAGAGGCGGUGGACGCUGCUCGAGAACGAUAUAUGGCUCGCAAAAAGGCCAGGACCAAUCCGGCACGGCUUUCAGCCCGCUGACGUUUUACGAGGUAUGAAGGUGUCUUACUUUUUUACUUCUAUGCAUGUCUUACAGAAAUUAUGUUCGGUGCUUCUUUCACAGUAAACAAGAAGCAAAUAUGGUGCUCCUACUCAAGUUCAUCCAUUCUGAUUUUGGCGCUUCCGGAUAGCUCGUUUUAUUUUCAAGGUGUGCUUAGUUGUUUCACAGUGGGGUGUUUGAGCUCAUUCAAUUCACAGUGCUGAGGCUUCGGGGGUCCGGUGUUUGCACCGCAGUGAAGGUAAUUUAUAAUCGUGUGCUUUUUGAGGCUCUUGCUGUUGUCAGAAACGCUCUGCCGAGCAUUUUUGAGGCCUUGGAGUUGUUUAUGAAUUUUUCUCCUCUAUUGUGGCCUUUGAAGCGCUUCCAAAAGGUUGGAAUCUCGUGUUUCAUUGGUGUCUAAUGCUUAUUCCUGACAGGAAGCGUUCUCAUUCUUUCUUUAUGAUUAUCUCGUCUGGAAUCAAAUAACAAUAUACAUAGCACCAACACCACCACCUUGUCAUUUUUGAGGAGCCAUAAAACCACAAUGCAACUGGAAAAUCAAUGUCAUCAUCAUGGAAAGGCAGGCUUUCCUCGCGAAAGGCUUAACUUGAAAAAUUAAUGAACGAAAACCUCCAAUAGUGCCAAUCGAAAACCAGCCUCACGUUGCCUUCUUUUUGAGCUGCCAUGUUUGUGGUGUGCUUCUCGGUUGAUCUAGUGAGUUGCAUUGAUGGCGAAGUCAGACUGCCGUACACUUUCAGCUUUGAAAGGCAGUGAUUGUGUGAUUGUGAUUGUGUGCCUCUCUGUGUGUGUGUGCAUCUCCAGAACUUCCAGAAAGAACAUGGAAUGAAAAGCUUAACAUCUAGAAAGCACCUAAAAUAGUCGUAUAAAAGGUUCAUUAUACUCUAAUCUUAUUGUACGCCUUUGGAGAAUUCUACACAAAUGUUCAACAUUUCCAAGAGAAGGAUGAAGAUUCCCACAGGGGAAACUCUAGGCUGUAAUCUCUACAACAAAAACGGAGGGAGUGUGUCUAGUAAGUGGUGCAAACAACACUCUACUCAUAUCUCCAGCAAGAAUAAGUUGAAAGGUUCCUUAUCAUGAGUAUGUAAAGUUCUUUACCCCGUCAUGAAAUUUCAUGAUCUGGAUUCAAAACCAUGUGAUAAUGAUUGCUCCCCAUGCAACUGAUUGCAUGGAAAUGCAUGGUUACAUAUGCUAAAUCAUACAUAAGCCUUGGAGCUCCAAGAAAAGAUUAUGCAUCGGGCAAUUGCAGAUUCCAACUCCAGGUACGGACCAACUAAAGGAUGGUGGAAACAACUGCAAGAAUGGACAAUAAGCCUCAAACUGGAGUUAAAAGUCUGAUCAUAUCCUGACAUAGAUAAAUGGUUGUAGCCUUGCUCAACAUCAAAGCCACUGUAAAAACUAGUGCACCUGAAUCACAAUUCUCCCUAGAGCACUUCAUUUGGCUACGCAUAUACUAUUGUAAAUUGCUGGACAUGUGAAGUGCACAUACACGUGUCCACCUGUCCAGUUCUAUUGGCUGGAAAGCUUAUGGUCCAUUUUCCAUGGUUAUCGGUCAAGGAUCCAUUCACCAUUUCUUAAAGUCAAUUCUGGUCUUUCGAGUAUUUCAAUGAGAUUGACAUUGCUUUUGUGCUGUUCCAGGAGAAGGGAGAUCUUGAUCAUGAGCUGCUAUCAUCUAGUGCACAAGCUUCAAAAUCCAAUAGCAAUAAGGCAGCUCCUGGUAAAUCAAUCUCAAAUUUUUGUGUAGUCUACCAUACAGUCUCGCUGCAAAACCGUGUACAUGGGAUCAGUAAGAACUUAAAGGGCGAGAGGUGAGAAAGCAGGGUUCUUUAAGAUCAUGGCAAGUUUCUAAGAUCUUGGAGUUCCUCCCAGGUUGCUUUGCUGCUGGACUGCACGUCCUGGUGUGGAGCUGGCCCAGGAGGGGGACCCCCCUGCCAUAAAAGGCGCUCUUGAGGCUGGAAAGCCGGUGGGAGAAUUUAAUCCGUAUCUUAAGCAAGAACACUAUCUCUGUUAAAUUCUUGGUGCGAACUGACGGCUGCGUUGAUGUGGGAGUUUUGUUCGAUUAAACGUUCCUUUGCUUGCUUUGAUCCAGAUUGGUUCCAACUACCCAGACUGUUCCUGGCUACUUGCAGAGUCCGAAAGUGGGGGACUGUGCUGUGGAGAGUUUGCAAGAAACUUUGUGGCACUCAAUUAUAUGUCCAAGUUUGAUUGAUGCCACCUGGAUUUUAUUUUAUCAGAUCUUCCAUAAAAAUCAUCUGUAAAGAUGAGAAUGCUUGCAAACACCAACAAUAAUGCAAGAAGCAUGACUAAUGGCCACUAUUUGGUAGUAUAUGCUAACCAAUGGAUGGAUGAAUUUCUAUGUAAGCCAGAAUAUUUAUUUUAUGCUACUUUUCUAGACAUGUGGUUUGUUGCAACUUUUGCAUCUAAUAUUAACCCAAGAAAAGAAGUUGCACUUUUCAAGUGGAUACAGUAAAUAAAAUAUUCACAGCCGGGGUCCUUUGAAUGCAAGACUACAAAUUGUAUUUCAUGACUGCCAUAUACAUACAGAUUGCCGAGGCUUGCUCAAGCUUGUUUUUGCCACCGUGAUUUGGGGACAUGGUAAUGAUGACUUCUGCAAAGAUUUUGAUCUACAUUGAGAUGUCCAUGACACCAAAAACCCUAUAAAUACAAGACGUGCUAAGUCAUCUUUUUUCUACAAUCUUACUUGCAAGAAAGCCUGAUACUCACAAAAAGGCUCACAUGGAGCCUCCACCUGGUAAAGACCAUCAUGAGGCACUAUUACCUCCUCAUGUUGUGAGCUUGUUGCUUGGAGUGUCCUCCUGGUGGAAACUGUCACAUAACACCUCCACCUCUACUAUAUUAUGAGGAGUGUCCACCUUGCUAUCCUCCUUGCUACAUGGAGCCAUUACCUUGCUGCUAAGGAGAACUUCCAUUGGAGCCUUGUCCUUUACCUCAUGUGGAAAGCUUGAAGUGAAGACCUCAAUAUUCCACUUUCAUGUGUCAAAUUUAGAUGUCAUUAAGAGGAUCCUCCAAUUCCUCAUGUAGAGGGUCUAGUGUAGCCUUAUUGUGUGAAGCUUCAUUUGUGAGCUUCACUUGAUGAAGAGGCUCCUCCUCCAUAAGGUCGCUUGGAGCCUUUUCCACCACCAUCACUUCACAUUUGUCCUAGGACACUCCUCCUUUACUAUCUUAUUUUUAUCUAUGACAUUGUGUUUGACUACCAUCUCACAUUUGUCUAUAACUUCACACCACACAAAUGUAAAAU